RNAcentral lists this long non-coding RNA (76113 nucleotides) under Brassica rapa (field mustard). RNAcentral describes it as "long non-coding RNA (BRAP_LNC004393)". Lineage: Eukaryota; Viridiplantae; Streptophyta; Magnoliopsida; Brassicales; Brassicaceae. The record is from RNAcentral.
UUAAUAAAAGGAAUUUGAUAGUUAUAUAUGAGUGAAAAAAAACUGCUCAGAAAUUAGCAGUAAAAAGAAAAAUUAAGUCUCAUUUCCUAUGUACAAAGGUUAAAUGGAAAUAAACGUAAGCGUAAGAAUCGCUUUACCCCAAGGUUGGUUGAUUAGUCAGCCGGGCUUGAAGCGGGUUAAAAAAAAUAUUAUCCGUAUGACGUUUUCACUAUCAGUUAUAUAAAUUACUAUACAUAUACAUAUAUUACAAAGUGAUCGGUAAUUAGGUAAAAACGCGAACUGAGUGGAUUAAACACAAAAUCUUAACUCGGAGCAUUUCGCAUGUGAGUGAAAGCUGAAACGACAUCGACUCGCCGUCAAAGGAUGGAGGAUGUGACUUUGGUUUUCUUGUCCGAAGAACAUUAGGGUUAGAGACAACUUGUUAUAUCGGGCCGGAUAAGGAACAAACUCAGCAGCUCGAAGCCCAGAUAAAGAACACACAAACGAAGCCCACUAACGAAUAGAGUUAAUGAAACGAAGCGUUUAGCAGGAGCGGACGCGUGGCGGCUGGAGGAUGCUCGACUUUCAUAUGUGGAGGGUGACGUGGACGAACGUGAGAGAAGAAAACAUGAUUAUAUAUAUAUACUAGGGUCGGUCCGCGCUACGCGCGGGAUUUGGAUUAUGUGUCAUUUUCAUUUGAACCAAAUCGUAAAAGUAUUGUUUGUUAGGUAUUCUUUAGUUUCACGCUGUAUUGACUAUUUUACAUUAGAUAUUUGGACGAAAUGGUGGACUUCACGUCGUUAGAUAUGUAAGUUUGAAUGUAUGUGAGCUGUAUUUUUAGAGCCGUUAGAGACAUUGGGCUAUUACGUUUGUUAAUGUGGCCUUAUAUGGGCUUGACGAAAGUAUGUAACGUUUAUAAAUAGUCGAAUAUGUUGUUGAAUCAAUUUAUUUUUGAUUUUGUUAUCUUCUACUCGGUUUAGUAAUAUCUUAUAAUACAAGCACUCGGUGAGUUUUAUAUAAUUUUAGUGCAGCGUACUCCUACCUAAUAGUAUAUUUAUACGGUUGUUUUUUAAGAAAUUUGCAUAUGUUUCUAUUUGUUUAAUUUUUUUUAUCCAUACCAUUUAAGAAUCCAAUAAGAAUAAAUGUUAACCUUUUGUAUUAAUUUGCAUUGCUUUUAAAAGACUUCUUAAUAAGUGGAGAAGGAAUUUCAUGUGUUUCAUGUGAAAUUGUAGAACUCAGAAAUUGAUUUGUUUUAUAUGAUAUUAGGGUUAAACCCGUCCUACUGACGGGUAAGCAAAUAAAAAAUAAUUAAAAAUAGAUUAUAUUUUAAUAUAUAUGUAAGAAUAUUUUGUUUGCUCUAAACUAAAAUAAUGUUAAUCUUUACUAUUUGUUUUUGUUUUUUUUUAUUAAAAAUAAAAGAAUUUAUAAAUUAUUUUAUACAUUUUACUUUUUUUCUUUUUAUACAUUUCUUAACCUACUGUUGUAGAUUAUAUGAAAAUUUUAAUUUUGUUUCUGAAAUUGAUUAUUUAAGAAUAUACAUAUUUUAUUAUAACUUUUUCAAUUAAACCAUAUCAUCCAAACUGAUUAAGAUUAUUAAACAAAUAUUAUUAUUAGUUUUAGAGUAUAAUUGUUUGUUGUUUUAUUUUUAUUUGAUUACCUUUUGAAUAUUAUUUUUGUACAUUGGUUUUAUUAUAUAUAUAUAUAUAUAAUUAGUUUAUUAUUUCCUUAAAAAAUUACCAUAAUUUUUAUUAGUAAUUAUUUUUAUGAAAUAAUGUUAUUUUAUUUUCAUAAUAUUAUUUUUUCAAUAGAUAUAUUGCAAGCUAUAUUUUUGGAUCAUGUAACACUGAUUCACUGAAUAGCUAUUUUGAACAUGAUUUUUUAAAAGUAUAUUAUUAUGAAAUUAAUUAUCUAUUAUAGUCUUUUACUCUAAUAUAAAGUUAUAAAGUGGAUUCAAAACAAUAAUUACUUUAAAAUCAUAAUAUGCAGACUUUGAUAAGCAUAUAAACCUUCGACCAACGGUAGUUGGAUAUGGGCAAGUCUUUAGGAUACAAUUCAUUGUAUUGUUGUAUCCAAACCCAUUGGAAGUAAUGUUGAAAAAUUCUUUUGAUUCAGUAUACGAACUCGGUGAUUCGUAAGUUGCUGUAAACUUAGUCUUUAGGAUACAAUUCAUUGUACUGAUGUACCAAGUGUUAUUAACUGAAACGAUUUCUUCCAAAGUAGUACUGUAACUGGUAAUUUUCUAAUGACUUGAGUAGAAGAAUAUUCAUAGAAGAAGAUUAAAGAAGAAUCAUAGUCUAGAAAGAAUACUAUAUACAAUAACACAUAGACCAAAUCCUUGUGUACACUCGUAUAUUUUUUCUACAUCUGGGCUUAUAUAUUAGUAAAUAUGAUUAGACCCUACUUGCUGUUAAGACUCUUUUUAUAUUUAGACCAAGGUAGUUUGUUGAUGUUUCCAGUUUGGGAGAAGGCUACACAUCAUUUCUAGCUUCUAGUUCAUCAAAGUACUGCAGAUCUCUAUUUUGUAUUCAUCCUCUUUUGUGUCCUCUCUAUCUCAGUAGCCGUACAACUGCAGCAGAUACACAUCUAUUUCUCUUUUCAAAAGAUCAUGUCUGUCAUGUUUAACGUCCUAAAGGAUGACGCAAUCGACAUAUACGUUCAUGAGACAGCCUCCAUACUUUGAACAUGAAUAAGAUUAGAUGACACAGGGAAAGAAAUAUCUACCUGAGACUUUUUCAUGUACUAUAGAUUAAGAACCGAGAUCUGAAUGUGUUCUGUUUUGACUGAUCCUAAAACCGCAAAUAUAAGACCUAUUAAUACAGUGCACCAAGAAGAAACUGUUGCAAAAGUAUUCUCAGAAAAAAUGGAAUUGCAAGUGCCUCACCUUAAAUGAAAGAGACAUGUCUAGCUUCUGCAUCAGUUUCCUUGUCGAAAAACACAUGUGUUCCUGAGGUGGCAUUCAAGAACAAACGUCCUGCAGAAAAAUAUUCCAUGUGUGUUUUAAGAAUAUUAGUCUCCUCACACGUAAGCACUAAGCUUUGAAAUUAGUAUAAGUGAAGGUAUCAGGUAUGCAUGUGUUUUUAAUUCUAGACAGAAAUAUACUUCCUACCAUCUUUGGGUAUAUGCUACUUGCAACAACAACCUUCAAGUUUCUUGUGAAAAGAGAUCGCUUGUGAGUCAAACAGACUGAUAGUGUCAAAGAUAUGUGUGUGAAAAGGAAGGCAUAUCAUAAAAAGGUCAAUAUAUAUGCAAAAGGAAAUUAGAUAAUUUAUGAAAGUCUUGAAUAGAUUCAAAUAUAGAAGAGAUACCUGUCGAUCUUCAUAGUCCACAUAACUCGCUCUAGGAAUGUCAGUCACCGUACUUCUCAUAGCAGUGAGCUCAGUAAUAACGUAAUGACGUCUGAGAGAUUAAUAACACCUUAAUUUAUUGUAUGUUUCAAUGAUAAGUCUGUCAUAAACAGUCUUUAAGAAGCUGUACCUAGAAGAUGUGUGUUGGUGUUGGCUAGGCCAAGAAGCGAAUCGUGAUCACCGAACCUGAAACCUUCUUCAGGAAUGUGAGAAUCUGGUUCGUUUUGCACAUCUAGAUUGGUUGAAUCACCGUACUGGACUGUCAGAAGCAAGUCUGAAAGCCUGAAGUUCUGGUUGCACAACCAGUGAACCAGCCUGGAGACGGUCUCUGUAAGUAGCUAGCCGGUGAACAUUCAUGAUGGCUGGCAUGACGGUUGACUGUAACAAAUGUGAAAGAGUUCUAAACAACAUUGAAAAAACAAAAAUAGGUUCAAUGAAGAUCUAAAUCUAUAUAAAAGUAUCAUCCUUAUGAAGAUGCUUGCUGGAAAAAUAAAAAAAUACUAUGAGCAUGAGAUAAUAAAAUAUUCAAAUCACCAAGAAUCAGCUUCCCAGAAUCGGAGCAACCGGACAUGGACGGUGGAAGAGCAGCCACCAGUCUUCAAAUCACCAAGAAGAACAGAUGAGUUAGCCAUGAUUGAGAAUUUUCUUUGUUUUCUGGAGAAUCACAAAUGUGAGGAUGAUGUUCAAGAGUAGAAAACUUACCCUUUUAUAGGUAAAGGAAACCGCCUUGGUGUUGGAUGAGUAUCAUUAAUGAGACGUUGUGCUUGAUUCGCGUCGGUGGAGUUAAGACAUCUCUUAUGAAUGAAGACAACUUUUAACGUCUGGAGGUUAAGUACCAAAUACGAAACGACGGAUGCUUGAUACCAAGGUUCUCGAGGACGAUUCGGCUGACUUGAUUUGGUCUCCAUUGUUGCUCGAGCUCAUUCAUCGCAGAGAUAGAAGACGACGACUAACCCUAAUUCAAAGUGAACAGACAAAAUUAGAUACCAUUCAUAAAGCAUAAGCCCAUACGAAAGACCAAAUUAAUUGUAUCCUCGUUUAAAUGAAACUGUGCGUUUUGAUGAAACUGACAGGUGUCGCGCUCACAGCCAUCAACUUAGUGACGUGGCUUCACCAGGAGAGAGCAAAACACUCUUUUAUAUAUAUAUAUACUAGGGGAAGCCCGCGCUUCACGCGGGAUAUGGUACUUUGGUUAUAUUAUUUGUGAUUUCUCAUGUUAGUGUUUUAGGUUAACUUUAAGUUUGUUUGGAGCAUGUUAGGCGGAUCAGUGUGAUUUAGUUAUGGAUUCUUGAAAAUUGUGUUUUUUUGUAGAUGGAAAUAUAUGUAAUUCUAAAAUAUUUGAUUGUUAGCCAUAAUGGAGUGACAAAUUUCUAAAAGUGUAUAUAGCUUAUAUUCUGGAAUUGGUAUUUUCCGAAGAUGCGUAACAUGUUUAAAUUUAUUUAUUAUGAUACUUGAAAUAGGAAUUUAAAAUCGACGGAGUAGAUAUUGUGCUCAAAUUAUGAAAACAAAUCUUGUCAUCUGCUUGUAAUAAUAGCAUGUGCCACACAAACUUUUAAAGUUGUAUCGGUGACUAUUAUUGUUGCUCUUGUGUUCUGUUUUGUCAGAUAACAAUCAAGUCUAAUAUAUUUUACUAAUGCGUUUCCAACAAUUUUCCGCUCGGAUUUUAUUUAUUUUCCAUCUUAGGUAAUCCAAUCCAACAUUUUUUAUCGCCCUCAAGUUCUCUCAUGCGUAACAUUAUUAUAUCUUCAAGUUAAUAGUAUUGUCUUUUUUCAAUAGAAUGUAAAAUUAAUUCAAACCCAAAUUUUUUUUUUCUGUACAAUAUUGAGCUAGAGUUUUGAAUUGAAAUGAGAAUACUGGCUAAAAUACUUCUUUUAGUGAUGUGUCAUGUGUUAUCGAUCUUGUACCAAACCAGAUGAUGAUGCCAAGAUCAUAGUUGUAGUCCGAUGUUUUCCUGAGUGCACUGAAUUUAUUCCUCACUUCCUUGUCAAUAAUCUUGAUCAGAGAUUCUUUUGGACUUGGGUUCUCACCAUGUUUCCUGCUGAUACUUUCUCUCCGUAUGUGGUAGAUUAAACUUUGAAAUGUGUAACAUAGGAGAAAAAAAAUAAUACAGCUUGCUUCUGAUUGAGAUGGUCGCUCAAGUAACAUGUCCCAAUCCUUUGUAAAGUCAAAACCUAGGAGCCUCUCCAUUAAGUUGCUCCAUAUUGCCCCUGGAUAAGCACACUGGAAAUAUAAAUGAUGAAUGGCCUCCUCUACACCGGAACAGAGACUGCAGUCUAAGGUCUGAGCCGUCCCCCAGUGCUUUGUCCUAUCACUCGUUGAAAGGCGAUUACGAAGUUAAUAGUACUGUCUUACAAACCUUCAGACGUUAUGCACAACUAUGGUAAUCCCGCAUGGGCGAAUCUACUUGAUCAACUAAGGGUGCAUGUGCACCCACAAUUUUUUAAAAAGAAAUUGCCUUACAAAGAAAAUUAUUUAAAGUCUAAGAGAAACUCAGUUAUAAAUUCAUGUAUGCACCCACUGAUAUCUUAACUUUACUCUUUUAAUUUCACGAAAUUAUGAUUUUGAUUUAUGUGAUUUAUACUUCACUAAAAUGUGUCCCCAAUUAUUAUAAGUUUUAGAUCCGCCCAUGUUAAGACCUGUCACCCGUCAGUGCUGUUUUUUUAAAAAUAAUAUCGCAGUCCACGUAAUAUGCCUGCUAAUUACUGCUAGUGCGAAAGAAAAAUAAUCUUAUAUUCCAUGUAAUGUGCCUGCUAAUUGUUGCUAGCUAAUUAUACAGAGCUUUUUUAUGAUAUAAAAAUUAUAAAUAUUUUUUCAUGUUCUUUUCAAUUCAUUCACAUAUAUAUAAAUUAUAAAACUAUAAAUAAAAUUAUAUAUUCAUUUUAUGAUAUAAAAAUUAUAAAUAUUUUUUCAUGUUCUUUUCAAUUCAUUCACAUAUAUGUAAAUUAUAAAACUAUAAAUAAAAUUAUAUAUUCAUUUUAAACCAACUUAUAUAGAUAUAUUAAAAUUAAUAUUUUAAUGACAUGACAUAUUGUAAAUUUAUAUUGAUUACAUAGUUUUUAUCUUUUUUUAAAAUAAAAUUAAAGCCUUGAAAAUAUUUAUAAUAUCAAUAAAUUAGUAUAAUUAAAUUAAUAUUUUAUUAUUUGUUAUUAAAAGUUAUAUUAUUAUUUUUAUCAUGCUUUAAAUGAUAGUUGGUUUGUUUUUAAAUGUAACAUUAAUUAUUAAAUUAUUUAUGAAUAUUUGGUGUUGUGGUAAUAUAUUUGGUUUAAGUAAUAAAACAUUGAAAGGUAUGAAAAUUUCAUAAAUUUUUUAAAAUUAUAUAGAAUUUUAGAAGAUUACACUUCAAAAUUGCUGCAUUUAAGUAGAUUGCAUGACAGAUUGAUAGAUGAUUUGUCUCUUUCUCUUUUACUAAAACUACAUCAGAAAAGAAUAAUUGUUAAAUAAAAUGAAUCAUAUUUUGAUCGGUAAAAAAACCACUAAAGUAUUUAUUUAAUGACACAGUUUUUAACAUUACACCAUUUUACUAUUUAUUUUAUAUUUUAUAUAAAUUGAUGUGUAGUUUGUUGGAGAAUAUUGAUGCUUAAAGGCAUCACUACAAUAUUGAUGCUUUAUAGAGUUAGAAGUGAAGUUCUUUCACGUGGUUGUUUUUUUUAUAGAGUUAGGUCUUUCAUGUGGUUCUUUUUUUCGUAUUCACCAUUUCCAAUACAGUUAAAUAGCUUUACAUAUUCAACAUAUGCAAUUAAGAUAAUUUGGAACAUUUCAAGAUUGUAUAGAAUAUGAUUUCAAAAGCUAACAUGAUCAAGAAAACAUGAAUUAUAUGACUUUGAUUUCGUUAUCACCCAUCUGCAAAUUAGGGUGUAGGCAUAGCUCUCCAAGAAUAUUCAAUCUUUCAAUAUCAACUCUUUUUCUGCACCCGUAACCGGAGGAUCCGUGAGUAGGUUUGAAGCUGGAAACUGACGGAAUUCCACAUGAAAUUAUUAGACACCCAAGUAUGUUUUGUUACCAUUUUCUGCAUUCUCCAUUAGACACCUUAGUAUUUUUGUAUUACCCUUGUAUGCAUUCUGUUGGGAACCUUUUCUGUAUUUUGUUAGAAGCUAUGAAACAAAAAGCAACAGGUGGUGUACUAUAAGAAGCUUACUCCAUCUAUUAGUGUUUUCUCUUGUUUUUGUUUUCUGGCCUCUCGGUGUUUCCAAACUUUCUCUCCACAAUCUCAUUUAGAAUUUUGUGUGUGAACUCAUAUCCUAAACCUCAAUGGAUCUUUUGACAAAAGAAAAAAACCUCAAUGAAUCAACCAUAGAUUAGGGGAUUAAGUAACGUGAAUGGAUAAUGUAUAUGAAAAGAGAUAUUGCACAUAUAGUGACUAAAUCAUAAAAAAACGAACAAAACAAUUUUGGUUAUCCAGUUGCAGAAAGAUUCAACUAUAUACAGCUGAACUAUCUGGCUUGAAACCGAGUUACAGAGAUAUGCAGCUACACAAGUAUCUUCAAGUUCACAUGCACUUCUCUGCAGCAAAAAAAUCAUAGUUGCCUAAACAGUAAUAUUGAGAUCUAUGGAAUUGAUUAACAUAAAAGACGCAAAAGUAGCAAAUUCAAACAGGCUCACCGGAAGUCUCAGAGUCUGAAGGUGGAACGAAACUGAUUUCUCUGUAGAUGUCGACAUGAGGAAGAAGGAACGAAGUUCCGUUGCUUGGGAAGUCAACAAUUUUGAUCUGAAUUUAAAACCAAAUCAAUAGCUAUUAGAGAAGCAAGUGGAGAGUUCUACAAAUGUAAAUCACAUAACACUAUCUCGUCAAGAAACAUGAUAGGGCUUACCUUUUAAUAGCUGGAGAUUAUGAGAAAAGAAGUGAAGGGGAAGACAAUGCUUCGAUUCAGACUAACUCGUAACGUCUCAAGUUAUUUUUUCAGAGAGAAGAUCGAGGCUACGCCGUCUUGAUCCACUUGGCUGAGUUGAUGACGUAAGCAUUCCCCCUGUAAUAAACCGUCAAGCCAUUGUUGAAGGUUGUUUGUGUAAGGAAGUCGUAGGGUUGAAUCUGGUGAGAUUCUGAGUAUUUUGCAUCUCUAUUUAUAGUUGAAGAAAUUAGGGAUGUACGAUGGAGGUGAAGGAAGGGACGAUUAAAAUCAAACAUAGUGGGAGAGAUUGAAUGAGAGAGUUAAUGGUUUCAUUAAAGACGAUGCUUCGAUUGAACCUGAUUUCGUAACGUUGCCAGAUUUUUGUGGACUCUGAGAUGAAGAACUUUGAUGGAAAAAACGCCGAUGAAACAUCGGAGUUUCCAAGAUAACUCUAACUACAGAUGGGCCAAUUUUAAAUUUCAGUAAAAGCCCAAAUAAGUUAAACUCGUCACAAACAAAAUUACGGUAUCACUUAAACAAACAUAAGGUCCAUCGUUAAUGAAACGCAGCAGAUCGGACAGAUGGGACACAUGUCACUCUGAGAAUCAUUGAAUUGAUGACGUGGCAGAAGGAGGAAGGAGAGAAUCUCUUCUUUAUAUAAUAAGAUAUAUAGAUAGAUAGAUAUAUAGAUUACUUUGUUUGUUUGAUGCCUAUACUUAAAUAUAGGGGUGAAUUGUUGUAUAUUAAGUUCUGAAAUUCGUUGAUUGCUGUGGGAUUUAUGUUUCUUUGUUAUGAUUAUGAUGCAUGUGCUCUGUUGGUAUGGACGUGUGUGUUGUAGCAUUCUUCCUUGCGCAAGGAAUUAUUACAUGUUACAGUUGAAGUCUAAUUAUUACAGUCCAAGUCUCAGUUUGUAUGACCAAAUUUUGUUUGCUUUCCAAGUAAAUAUUGCUAGCCAAGUAAAGAUCGCUAUAUAUAAUAUAAAGGUACUGGAAACAUUAAGAGUUUAGGGAUAAUUAUAAAAGAAAUUUAGAAAUUGGGUUGAAUGGUCAGGUUAUCAUCUCCAAGAACAUUUGCAUUUGCUUGUAGUUAUAACAGUCAGUGCACCUAUCAGAAGCAAUGAACAUGGCAGUAUCAGAAGCAUCAUUAGCUGACAUCUCAACCCGGUACAUAGUGGUGAAAAUCAGAGACCAUUUGUUAUCUGUAAAGGCCAUGAGAGGUGCAUUAGGACCAGUUAGAACGGGAUAAUGGAAAAUACCAUAGCCUGGCUUGUUAGAACGGGAUAAUGGAAAAUACCGUAGCCUGGCUUACCUUACAACCUAACCAUGUUUUCAUCAUGGCAGGCUGCACACGUGAAGGAUGAGAACCCCCGCUGAAGUUCUCGGGAGCACUUGGAGCAUGAUACAUAUCACCACCCAUAUGAUGUUUCAAUGUUGACAACUUCCCCAGUACAGAGGAUCCCAUGCAGUCUAUGAUUGAUUUAGUUUCUUAGAGGCAGAUUUAAAACAAUAUGAGUGUGUUGUUAAGAUGAAGUCUAACCUGGGAUGGUGAAUUAAGGACCUAAGCAUUUUGCUCAGAUAGUGUCACUAACUUAAUCUUCUUCACACUGUCAUAUUUGGAAGCAGUUGAGGGAGAACUCCCAGUACUCCUCAAAACCUUGUACAAAACACAAUGUAACAGUACUGAAAGUUUUAGCUUAUCUUACAAAACCUUUUAUUUUUUUUGAAAUUAUCUUGCCAAAAGAAAAAACAGCACUGAAAGUUUUAGCUUGAAUACAUGAAUAAUAGACAGCUGAUGCAAAGAACCUUACCCUUUGAGGUAGCUGUCGCCAGCAGUUCUCUUGUUGUCGAAGUAAAAAUAGGUUUCUGAGGUAACAUUAAGAAAAUGACCACACCAUUGCCAAAUUUUCUUUGCAUUAAGCUGCAUAGCAAAGCCGUCAAAGACACUCGUAAAGAAUGUAGUAUCCCUGCGUUUGGGGAGAGAGGAAUGCAAACUCAUAUCAACUGACACCAACAUUAUGUUUUUUCAAAGAUUUUACCAACAAUAGAAGGAUAAGUGGGCUGUGGGUAUGACCUGUGAAUGCCUGAAUUUACCAUAAUACGUCGAAUGCUUUGUGUUUCUUCAUGGUAAGCAGUAGUGAUACCCAUAUAACUUUAACAACAACACCCAUAAAACUUUAAGAGCUGAGGAAGUAAGAAAAAGAUACUGAAAUCCUUGAGUUGAGUUUGAUAAAUGAAACAUACCUUGCAACUUGGUAUGUGUGUUCAGUGCCGGCCCUUGCAUGAAGCCAACAAAGCACCAGCUUGCGGCCAUGUAUUUUAUUAACUUAAUUCGGCCUCAUUUCGUACGUGUUUUCUUUAGUGUAGUGGUUAACUCUUGGUCACAUUUUCAUCAGAAUAAGGGUUCGACACCCAGUGGUCACAAUUCUACUUUCUGUUAUUUCUUUAUGUUUUUUUUUCUUUAAAGAAGUGGCCACAUUUUUAUUUUUGCAUCCAGCCUUUCAAACUCUAGGACCGGCUCUGUGUGUGUUAGACAACAUCAUCAGCUGAUGGCAAUUACAAAAGUGGAACUGUUCCAUCGUGAUUUACUUACUGUCCUCUGCAAUGUCUUCUGCAAGCUCAUUCAAAUAGAUACAUGGGCAUCAACGAAUCUAGAGCUUUGGCUGCUCCUAGUAGAAACAAAGACACACGCACACCGUCGCAGGCAUCAUUGUCACCUGACAAAUAUCAAACAAAAAAAGUUAUUAAAUUUAGUAUAAAUUAAAAACAUAUUAAUCCUGUGAAUAAUUAAUUUAUUUUAAAUACUAUUGGUUAAAUAAAUAAUUUAUAAAAACAGAGAUAUAUUUCAAUCAUUUUUUCAAUAUAUGUGAAAAUUUUCAAAGUGACAUUUUUCAUAAAACGAAUAAAAUAAUAAGUAGACAGAUUCACUCAAAUAUGUCACAAGUUUAAUCCUUUCAUGAAUGUUGUUUUCAUUUGUAAUACAGUUUUCGAGAUACCUUAUUUUAUAGAUUCAGUAUGACCAGCAUAAAAAAGAGAAUAUCCCUUCCUUGAAAUUUACCUAACGAAUUCAUACAUUAAUUAUAAAUAAAAAAAUGUAAGUUACUAGUAAUCAUCAAAAUCCAAACUUGAAAUGUCAAUCGAGAAAUCUUCAAUAGAAGACCAGUCAGUUUAUUCUGGGAUGCAAAAACAAUUGGAAAUUACCUUUUUUUCCUUAGAACUAUCAUAGAAUUAAAAAAAUUCACCCAAAUUUUUGACCUGAAUUUAUAUGUACAUCAAAUAAUGCUAUAGACAUAUUUCCCCACCAAAACAUAGUUUGAAAGCUAUUUAUCUAGAAAUUUUAAUAUUAUCGGUUUAUUGUAACCAAUUAAAUCACUAUUAAACAUGCUUUAAAUUGAAUUUAAACCUAAUUUUAAUCAGACCCAACCUAAAAAAAAUGCCAAAGAAUAAGUAGUUGUGUAUCAUAAUACCUGGCCUGCCUUUGCCUUCGUCUUCUUCACCCAGCCCCAUCUUCUUCACGGACCAUUAAAUUGCUCUAUAUCGCAACUGUUGAAUCUAAAUUCAACAUACUUACUCGAGCGUGAAUUUGAUCAUGGUGUGACUGGUAACCAUCAUAGGAACAAUAGCAACGGAUAGGAAAGGAAUGAGUAGGAACAAAAUUUUAGGAAUGAUGAGGAAUGAUAGUUCCUUAUCAAAACUAAUGAGGAAUUAAUUUGUUCUAUAAUUCUCUACAAAUAAAGGAAUGAAGAGGAAUGAAAAGGAAAAUCUAUUCCUCAUGAAUGGUAAAAAAUUUAAGGAAUAUUAAGGAACAUAGUGUUCCUCCUCAUUCCUUUGGCCACCAGUCAUAAUGAUUUUGUGUAUUGAAGUCCGAGCGCUGUGAAUACAUAAAUAUUUAUGCUAAGGUACAUUCCUGUUUAUUCACUAUUUUUCCUUCGGUUGAAUUUUUUUUAUUAUUACUUAUUUAUUUUACAUAUUCUUGCGAAUGACUUCCAUAAACAACGAAUUUGCAGCUUUGAUGGUGUAACGUCUGCAGAUGCAUUAAGUGAAGAUGAGGUUGUGAUAGGGAGACUCACGAUCCAGAAGUUGAGAGCUGAGCUGGAGGUCGCUCGGGUUAGAGAUCUAGAGAGAGCUGUUGAGCUUGAGGCGACAAACAAGAAGUUGAGGAUGACAAGUCUCAAAAUGUCUUAAUCUAUGCAGGAGGUCACUUCUCUGACAGCGAAGAACAAGGCACUGAUUUCUGAUCGCAAUUUGGAGAUUCUUUGGGCUUCUUGAGCUGCAGGUCGGGCCCUUGCGAAAGAGUACAAUAGUCUUCUAGGGUCUUUGAAAGACAAGUGGGAGAGGAAGAAGCUGGAAGAAACGGUGGAAAUCCAUUUACAAGAGGUAACCGCGUAUAUCUUUUUGACGGAAAUCACAGAAGGAGGUCUUCAGGAAGCCGACGAGCUUCAACGUCUCAAAGAGAAUGAUAUUGAGUUUGAUACCGACUUUGCGCUGGCUACGCUGUCAGAUCAGGUCCUUGACGAGCUCAUCUUCUGCAGGUUUUUAAAGAAUCAAUGACACAGGGUGAUCUCCCAUCUUCUAGGGUGGCCAAUGAUGAAUGUAAGGGUAAAUUUAUGCAGGUGCAUUUGUGGUACUACAGAAAUGUAUAAAUAAGUAGAAAAAAUAGGAAAAUAGAUCAAGAGUAUUGUAUUAUUGAUCUUUAGAGAAGGAACUAAAAGUGUUGGUGUAUAAACCCUAGUUUUAGCCGUCUAACUCUAAUAUUUGUGUAUAAAUCCAGUUUUGUCAUUUUCUUUAAAAUACAGUUAAUAAAAUUAACAUUUUACUUUAAUGAAAUAAUUAAGAAGUUAAAAAAGAAGAAGUAGAACCCUAUCGUCGUCUUUGACUUUCUUUCUCAAUCAAAGAGGCGAUUUCGUUUUCGCCGCCAACACCCUCUUUCUCUGACCUGUCUAAGUUUGUCAGAGAGCUUUAACUGGUCGUAACAUCUCUCCGUUGUCCUCCUUCUUUCGCCUUUCCUCUUUUAGAACCACCAAUUACAAUCACUUUGUAAUCUCCGCCGAUUACAAUCGGAGUUGUUCAAGCUCGGAAGUAGCUUCUUCUCGCUGAUAAAGGACGAUUAGCUUCACAUUGGUCUUCUUUUGCUCUUUCUUCUUCUAUUUUCAUAACCUUUCUCCAGAAUGCCUCUCAGAACAUUUACUGCAUACUUACGUGCCUCACAUGCUAAAGAGUAGGAUAUCUCAACUCCAUGAUCAUUACACAUAAAUUGGAUGAUAUCAUUAGGUUUCGGCCCUUCCUUGACACUUUCACACUUAUGCAUAAUGAGAGUACCAACUGUUUUUGAUGAAUUUUUCCGAACAUAAUUGUUUCUUGUUGAUGAAGCACAUGAAUGAUCAGGUAGAUACUUUUUGAUGAUAAAAUAUGAAGAACAUGUUAAUCCCUCUGCACAAACACACCAUCUGCAAUCAUCAUCUGCACAACGAAUGUACCAAACUUUUUUAUCUGAUUUGUCAAGCUUGUACACGAAGUUAUUUUUCAUUGCACAUAUUUUCAUUGUUGUCUUCAAAUCUCUUUUGCUAAUAAAAUGUUGACCCUUCUUCACAACAUCAACUAGAGAAAAGCGGACACACUUUCCGUCGAUCAUAUCUUUGUUACCCUUGUUAUCAUCAUCACUUUCAUCCAGCUUAACAUCUUCUUCUACAAGCUCGGUUUGACCAUCAAUAUCAUCUGAAACUUCAUAUGACAUAGGUUCUUCCUCUCUGUUAGGCGACUCAGUAGCUUCUUCAUUCAAGUUAAAAUUGACCUUGAUAUUGCUUGUCUCGACCUUAGAUCGAAUACACACACAUAACCACGUCGAAGCUUUGAUCUUCACAUAUGUAAAAAAAAUUGAGUUGUCGAUCAUUGGUGAUGAAAACAUGUGGUGUGAUGCCAAUGAUCAAAUCAGAGGGUAAGUAACUCAGCUCGAUAUUGACCAUGUUUACAUCGAUUCCAAAGUCCUCACAAACCAUAGCUCUUAGGUUGUCAAAGGUUUUACUUGUGUCAAAGUAAGUAAUCUACCUCUUUUUCCUUCAUCAGCAAGAAAUUUCCAUCCACUUCUUUUGGACGAUUUCCAAAAACCAGAAGAAGCAUAGAUGUCCAUAUACAGAUUGACAAAAGUUUGGAGGAACUAUGAAAACAAAAGAAGCCCCACGAGUUAUUUCCAAAUCGUUGUGGCAACGAAGAAGACCCAAAUUUAGGGAACAAUAUUUAAAAAAGAAAAUAAAAAAAUGUAAUAGAUUUAGGAAAAUUUUGUAACUGUUUUCUCUUAGAUUUUCGUAUUUUGUUUACAAAUCUUGUAGAACUUACAUUCUACCAAAUUAGAAAGAGAUGAAGUGAUAGAUAGAGGAUACCAAGAUUAUAGAUAAAAGAAAAGUGAGAAGAAAUUAUAUUCUGCCAAAGAAGAUAUGAGAAAUUUAUUAUGUCCUAUGAUAUACCAAAAAUACAAAACAUAGAAUGAAACGUAGAUUUGUUAUUCUGCCUUAGUAGAUCGAAAUGUUUUCAUUGUAUUGCGGAUUCUACCUUGGUUAAAUCAUUGUGUCUUCAGUAGACUGCAUAAUUUAAUUCGGCGUAGAUAGUAGAUCUGAUAUACUAACACCUUUACUCCAUUUUUGAACUUACUAUUCCAAAUAUUUUUUGAAUCCAAAAAUAUUUUUCAUAUAUGCACAUGCUUGACUAUUUCAUGUUUUAUACUUUUUUUUUAUUUUUUUGCAUUGUAAAUAAAUGGAUAUAAUUUUUGUUUACAAAAAAGAUAGUAAAAAUCCAAAAGUGAUAAAAUUUGAUUUUGUACUAAAGAGACAAUAAAAGUUCAAAUUUCUCAAAAAUAAACAAAAUGCACGCCUACCGCUACACCAGCUUAAAUUUUGCAAAUAAGUUUUACAAACAUUGUAUAUAUAGAUCGAAAUAUAGAUAAAACCUUUAAAAGAAAAAUCUCUAAAUACUCUCCAAUUAAUUUCUGACUUUUUGUUAAUUCGAUAUACCCAACUCAACCCUCCAAUUCACACCUAUCAUAAUUUCAAACAUAGACUACAGCUACUUGUGUACUUUUACUCAACAUCAACUUCAUAUUACCAAGAAGGGAUACAAGAUUUUCCACCACAAGAGUAUUUGAACCAAACUUACAACAUAGAGAUUUAGUAACACCUAAGAUCCCUACUUGAACCAAACGCUACCUAAUCUAUGUCUAUGUUGUAACUUUCAUCCCAUUGAACACAAACUCCUCCUACAAUCAGAAAGAUUUGAUUCUUAAACCACUUAAAUUAGACCUCUAGCGCAGAAUCACUUACUAACGGUACUGACAAAACCUAUUCUGGAAGUCAUUAAAGCUCUAAGCUUUUGGGACCUAAUGAUAGGAGUGAUGUUCUUGGCCCAAGAGCAACAACACCAAAGGUGCAGACCCAAAACAGCUUCGUCACCACCAGCUUUCAGCUCUCUGUUCUUCAGCCUCAAACCUGACAACGAUGUCCGACUGAAAAAGUGGGUUUCAGAAUCAAGCACGGGCCUGUACUGCAAUAAAUAGAGGUGUGGAGCUCUAACCGGCGGCAGAGAACAUAAAGCACUUUCCGGUGCUGGGAUGUAGACCUCCACCAUGAACCGCCGCAGGUUGACUUCUCCGGUUGACCACUCCAUCGUCGUCUCCUUUGGUACGUGUUGUUUCUGAGAACCAGAAGACAAACCUCUAUACACAAGUUAUCGGUCCUCUCCUCUGAUUGCCUCACCGCCUCGUUGGAGCAAAGAUCUAGGGUGGAGGAGUCGUCUUGCCAGACAACGCGCCGAUACUGAGCUUGGUUCGCCAGAGAUCUAAAAAGAGAAAACUAGAUCUGGCUCAGCAGAACCCUAAAAGCCGACUUCUUCCUCUUCCACCGUUCCACUAGCCUCGCCACUCCUCCAAGGCAAGCUUGAGCUAGACCAUCACCCACACGAUGCGAGUUUCCAGCUUAACUCGACCAAACCAGAGUCAUCCGCAUAUCGGCCGGGAAGAAAGCAUCGAGGGAGAAGCAAAAAAAAAUAUUAAGGAAAGCAAGGGAAGAGGAGGGCCUCCGGCACUAGAGCUAGGGUUUCUUCUUCGAAAUUUAGAGAGAUGCGAGAGAUUUUUGUUAGAGAGAGAGGGAGGGAGAAUACAAGAGAAACUCUUGUACUUUUAUUGUUUAUUGUUUUAGGUUGGUAGUAAAUUUGUUACUUUUUAUAUAUUUUAAGCUAAUUAACUCUGGAUUUUUAUGAAUAACUUUUGAUAAUAGAAAACAAGGAAAAAAGAAAGAAAGAGGGACACGUAAAGCCCCCUGGGCCCACAAAUAUAAGAAUAUCCUAGAAGACUUGGUUACAGGAAAACCGAAAUAUAUAAUAUUUAUUAGUAUUAAAUAGAGCGUGGGUUAUCUUGUUGAAUCGGAGAAUCGAUAGAUAGGGUUACGUGAGUUACUUGUAUCGAGAUCAAAGCACAGGUUUAUAUUCUCUCUAUUGAUCCGUUGAUUUUGGUUGUUUAAUUGAAAUCAAAGGUAGCUAGGGUUCUUGAGAUUUUGUAUUUUUGCAGAAUUUGGAUUUGUGCAUAUGGCUAGUCUUAAUGGAAAGAUGAAAUUCAAGUAUGAAGAUGAUGAUGAUGGAUAUGGAGAUCCUUCGUGUGUCGAGUCAAAAAUAGAGCCUAAUUAUCCCAUCAUGGACGACUCAGAAGAAGAUUACGUGGAUGAAGGAUUCGAUUCAGCUGAACCAAAUCAAGGAAACGUAGAUGUUAACUUGAAGAACGUGUUGAGUGGGUUGAUAGCAAUCGUCACCGGGAGCAACAAACAACCACCUUCUUCCUCUUCUUCCAACCAGAACGUCUCCUUCCUUGGCUCCUCCGUUUACAUACCAAGUGCCCCGCCUCUUCUUGAACCCAACUACAGUGUUUACAAGGACUUGCUCGAAGCUGAACCUCCUCACUGGCUCCCCGACAGUUCCACCACUACCUGCAUGCACUGCUCCUCUCCCUUCACCGCCAUCACUUGCGGCAGGCAUCACUGUCGCUUCUGCGGAGGGAUAUUCUGUAGGAACUGCUCCAGAGGAAGGUGCUUGAUGCCCACCAGGUUCCGUCAAAGGAACCCCCAGAGAGUCUGUGAUUCCUGCUACGAGAGGCUUGAUCCUUUGCAAGGUGUCCUCAUUAACUCUAUUAGUAAUGCUGUUCAGGUUGCAAAGCAUGAUGUUGUUGAUUGGACCUGUGCAAGAGGCUGGUUGAAUCUCCCCAUUGGUCUUUCCAUGGAAGAUGAGAUCUACAAGGCUUCUAAUACCUUGAGAGGCUACUCCCAGGUUGCUAGAUCUGACCCUGAGAAAUCCAUCCCUCUUGCCCUUCUUCGUCGAGCUCACGGUUUGGCCAUCCUCACUGUCGCUAAAGCUGGGGCCUUUCUCUCCUACAAUCUCGGCACUGGUCUGGUUAUCUCUCGGAGAUCAGACGGGUCAUGGUCUGCUCCAUCUGCCCUACUCUCGCUAGGUCUAGGAUGGGGUGCUCUGGUUGGGGGUGAGUUGAUGGACUUCAUUAUAGUGCUGCAUGACUUGAAAGCUGUCAAGACCUUCUGCAGCAGAAUGCACUUCUCUCUAGGCGCAGGGUGCAGUGCAGCUGCAGGACCUCUAGGGAGAGUCUUGGAGGCUGACCUCCGCGCUGGUGAUAGAGGCUCUGGCCUCUGCUAUACUUACAGCCGUUGCAAAGGUUUAUUCUUUUAUAUUGUUUUAGAUAAUAUUACAGGAUUAUUUGAAUUAUUUUUGUCUAACAGGGGCUUUUGUGGGAGUAUCCCUUGAAGGCAAUGUGGUGACGACGAGAAGGGACACAAAUGUUAACUUCUAUGGCGAUCCAUACCUAAGCACAUCUGACAUUCUACUUGGGAUGGUGGAUCAACCCAAAGCGGCUCAACCAUUGUACACUGCGCUCAAUGACCUCUACGCAGGUCUACGUCAGUAAUCUCCAUUCGCAUUAUAAACAACUCGUGUGAUGAUAUAUCUUUUAAUUGUACAUGUACGUAGAUAGCAAUUGUUUCUUUCUACAACUUAUGAAACUUUUAGCAAUUGGUUAAUUUAAUUAUGGAUUCUUUACCGUCUUUCAUUCAACAAAUUUAUAUAUAUAUAUAUAUAUAUAUAUAUGAUAAUAAUUAGAAUGAAACAUGCAUUGCAAAAAAAGAUCGUAAGAGGAGGAGGAAUCAAUCAUUUUAAAAAGAAAAGGUACAAUGAAAGAAGAAACGUGAAGCUAAGGGACAAGUAAGCCAUUAGAGGUCUUCUGCGACUUGUUCCUGUAAUUACAGACGCUACAGUUUGGGCACACAUUCGAAUCCAUCCGCUUUCGCGUAAUCCUGUCAUGAUAAACAGUCAGUACACACACAGGCCAUUGAGUGGCUUGCUUGUUUGCUUUACCUUGAAGGCGCCAAGGCCUGGCCUUCUGUCACAUCUGAACUGAGCCCAUUCUCCACAGUUCACCCAGUCACCUGCCGUGCUACUGCUUCAACCACAUUCUUAAUGUACCUGCGACAUAGUAAGGAACAUUCACUAUCUACAUACAUCAUCAUGAGCAUACUCAUACUCCACUAUAUGUCUCUUAGUGUCUUUUCAGCGUAUUGCCCACUCCCUGCCAUAUAUAAAACCUCUUUUAAAACAAAGACUUUCAACUAGAAAUCAAAUCAUACUUUACAGUCAUUCUGUUUUUGAGUGUGGUUCCGCCAUCUUUUGAGAAAACUUGUCCUUUCCAGUUGAUCCCAUUCCCUACGUGGACUCCACGUGUUACAACCUGAAAAUACUCUCAUUAGCUCACCAUAAUGCUGUCUGGGUUGAUCAAAAUCAAACCACCUCUCGGUACAAGUUAAACAGAUCAAGCCGUUUAGAGUUGAACUUUGGUUGUGCACCAAAAAACUUUGGUUGUGCACUGGGAAACGGAUUAUGCUACUAGUAAAUGAAAAGUUUUAGGUUACUCCUAGAAUGCGGUAAAUCUUCAGGAUAUAGGGACAUAUGGACCAGAUUAUUUCAAUAUAUCUAAGUUGUGCCUAUAAAAUGAUUACAAAAGUGGUUAGGGUUACAAAUACAAUGCAAAUUCUAAUGAAAAUGAAGAGGGUUUGGGAAAAGACUCCGAAGAUCUAAGAUCAGACUUCAAUGAUGAUAUGAGGUCUUCACUCUCUAAGUUUCUCUUUGGAGGUCAGGUAUGCGGAUCCCCUUCUUCUGAGGUGCUUCUCCUUCAGGCGUUUGAUCAACAAUGUCAUGUCACAUGUGUAAUUUGUACAGUUGUUAGGCAUGCCUUUUUCAAGCUAGGCCUAGCAGCUUUGUGGGAUUCUGUAUUUUUUAGUGGACCUGUUUUGAAUGGAAUCCACCUCCAACAAACGAAAAGCAAAAAUCAUGCCAAAGUUGCGGUUUAGACUAGCCGGUGAAACUAAAGUUUGCAUGUGAGCAACCUAGAAGAGUUAACUUUUACUUAUAUUGAAAGAUUUUGGUGACCGACCACACUAUAUUAGAAGAGUUAACCUAAUGGUUACUGUAUAUUAGCCUCUUUAAAAACUAAGACAGCAAGAGCGUUAAAUGAGUCUGAAGUAGUGUGGACCACACCAAAACAAAUCAAACCUGUAAUCGCUAGACCAACUCAUGAGGCUAUUAUUUCCUUUAUUUUAUCAUGAUUGUAAUGUGGUAAAAUGAAAAAAAAAGUACUGUACUUCUUGUUCUAGAAAUCGGUUGAGGCGGCGGCGUCUAAACGGCCAAUUGAACAUUUAAAAAGGAAAAUAAUUUUUAUAGAAUGAUUUUUAAGAAAAUUGGUCCAAACAUUCAAAAACCUGAUAUAAAUGCCCGAUAAAUCGUCUAAUAUCUUUUAACGAUUUUUUGAACAUUGGUUUCAGUCACAGGGACAAUUUAAUAUUGAAUCUUCGAAGAACCAUGAUUCAUAAAAUUAGGACUCUUAAUGUAACAUGGAUUAAAGUCUUGGAAAACAAAAGGCAUAUAUCGAUCGUAUGCAUAUAUAUCAUACUUUUUACAAUAAGGAACUAAAUAAGGCCUUGCUUGUUUCUUUUUUUUUUUGUCACAGGGCCUUGCUUGUUUCAAAUGCAACUUUUGCGCUUCUCUGCCCUGACGAUAGAAAUGCCUUUUUACUUUUGUGGAAUAUGAAUUUUAAAAACGUAACAAAAGAAUGCUGUUUGCGCUUAACAAUACUUAGAGCAUCCACAUCAAUGAACCCCCUCUUGGGGUUCAUCUUUUCAGUUUUUUAUUAUUAAAUUUUUUUUCUUUUUCUUUCUGGUUUUUUCUAAAAAAAAAAAAAAAAAAAAACUAGACCAAUCACGGACCGCUACGACACAUGGGGUCCGCGCUACAGUGAUGAAUUUUAGGAGAAAGGGAUUCAGCCAAAAGAGCUUUAGGAGAGAGGGGUUCAUAGGAUUGAAUUAUUUUAUUAUUUUUUUUUUUUAAUUUUUGUGUGAACUCCCCCAUAAACCCUCAAUGGGGGUGCUCUUAUGAUUUCAUUUUUCAAAACUUUUCUUUUGUUUUGACUUAGACCAUUAACAAACUUCACAUUUUAGUCCUAUCUACAGAUAAGGUCCAGGUAGUAAUCUAAUAACACAUUAAUCAAGUUAUCAAAAAGUGCAUAAAUUGAAAUCGAGAAGGAUAGUAAAUGUUGAUAGCAACGAAAUCCACAAUGUGUAAGAAGCGAAAGAAAAAGUCUUACGGAUACGCAAGUGGACGGAGUCUAACAGCAACAGAAAAUUAAGAGUCAACCCAAUAUAUCAUAAAAGUUUUUAAGUUUGCGUGCAUAAGAAUCUCAAAAACAGCUGAUACGGUCUAAGUACAAUCGACAUGUCAGGAACAAGCAUCAUCUGUAAUCAAGAGAAGAACCACUCCAAUGUAGAAAAGAGAAGAAAAAAAAAACAAUAACCCAAACUCUGGAAAGCAAGUAUGCUUUGUCACAAUUUCACAGGCUUCGAUCAUUUACUGUUGCAAAAGAGGCUUCAAUUGUGCUGUGAAAAGGUUGGCUAAUGCACCUCGUAUGUCCAUCUGCAAACAGAAAAUUAAAAAAAAAAACUUUACUGAUUAUAACAACCUUUUGUCUAGAUGAGACUAGAACAUGUUUAAUCAAAGUGGAACUUGCCUGUUCACAGCAAACAAGCCUCGUGAGCAGAGGGUAGAACUCUCUCAUGUGUUUCCUGAAUAUUUUGUUGUUCAUGAAGCACAUUCCUUCCAGAACCUGGAACAAGAUGGCAUCAGCAAAUUAUUUUUUUCUAUCGUAGUUUAUUUUAUUAUAUAAAAUCUCAGCGAUGUAUUAUUAUUAUAUUACCUUGACAAUCACGGGAGAACGUAGCUCAAGUACCCGGUGAACAUCCAUGUUCGUAGACUCCCCCAAAGAGGACUGGAGAUCAGAUGUUUCUUUCAGCACCUGUUCACAGAACGACACCAGCUUUCCUUCAGCUGCACCUUCGAGUUUAUCUUCCGUGUCGGAUGCAGCAUCCCCAAGCCCAGUUGUAGUCUUAUGUAAGACAUCCAUAUAUAUGUUGGUUCCUUCCAGCUCUUGUCGGAGAAGGUUUAGAGGUGGCCUAUAGUAUUAAACGAAUUGUUGGAAGAUGCGAUUAUAACUAUAACUCAGUCCAAAGGUUUUGUUUUUGUUCCUAACCUUUCCGCGGAAAUGUGAAUCAUUCGUGUUCUAAGGUUAGAAUAUGAAUUGUAGGAAGCAGCGAAUUCUAUGAAAGAGAAUAAGAUGUCCAUGAUCGCAAUCUUCUGUGCUGUUUUCAAAUUACUCCAGUAUUUUUUCUGCAGAAUUAACAUCAAACACAGAAAUAUGCAAUAAUAAGAAUGUGUGCCCUAAGACCAUACAGCAUAUAGCUAAGUAGAGAAGACAUUUUAACACCUGGAUACUGUUGAUAGCACCAAGUAGUAGUAAUUGUGUGAUGCAUUUGCCUCUAAUAGUUCCAAGAGCUGGGCUCUCUUCUUCUCUGUUGUCUGGCUCUGCAGGAUCCACCUGCUGCAGGAGGAAGUAGUAAUUUUUGAUGAAUAUUCCUCUGUUUAUCACAUUACUCGGAGAAACAAGAGAACUGUGCAUGACAAGCCAGCCAAGGUGUGUGCUCGUAUAAUUACCUUAUGUGGAGAAGAGGGUACAGACACCUCUGCAGCAGAGCUCUUUGGUUGAGAUGUGAGAUUCCUGAGAAAGAGAUUGUCCAUAAAUCUUUGGCCAAAAGUCUGACUCCGCUGGAUAAUCGGAUCAUCCCCUUCCUUUUGUGACCUUCCAGAUGACGAUGGACGACCUUCAGGAGGGAACAUCAAAGUCAAAAACAUGGCGUUGCAUAAAUCUAAUCGUCUUUCAACCAUGCUAAAAAGUUUAAGAGGAAACCUUCAGAACCAUCAUCCUUGGGCUGUAUCCCAGAUUCUUGAGAAGCUCCAUGAAUGCCAACCCUUGGAGAUGCCUGGGCGGAGCCUUUCCCAUUCUCAUCCGGAUUAUGAUCAACUCGGGGAGAAUCAGUGGCAUCAGCCUCUAUAUCUCCAGUCACAACCAGGUUCUUAUUCGGAUUGUCAAAACCCAAAUCAUUUAAUAGCUCCAGCGGUUGAGUUGUGUAUGAUGCAUCUCUAGAAACCGAAAGAAAAAGUUAGAUAGCAACAUUUGGAGAUGAAAAUUGUUGUGAUGAAAGAUGGUGACCUUAUGCUUUUCAAGAGCAUAUCCCAGUCGCCCUCACUAAAUUGGUGACCUCCAACCUCUAUAAGGUGAACCAGUGCUCCUAAUGAAAUUGAAACAACUGUCUGAUCUGAUUUCUUCGCACAGUCUAGGAGCAAGCUUAAAAGUGGAGGCAGCAUAAAACAAACUUCCUGCUCCAAAGGUGAAAAUCCAAUGGUCAAAUUUGCAGCACGCAAUAAUAUGUUCUAACUUUGCAUGUUAAGAAAAAAAAACAUUUUCUGUACGGUUUCCUGCGAUAAACAUGACAUAUACUGCAACAGGUGUGAAAGUUAAUUGAUAAAUAAUGGAUUGGAUGCGCACAGAGAGAACAAAUUAAAGUACCUUGUAGAAUGUAUUAAAGAGAUUACAGAGAAGCUGAAGGGAAUGAAUGCUUGUUUCACGAAAUUGAACAUCCCCCGACGAUACUAAGCCGUCCUUUCCAGCAUGACUCACAUGAUCAAAAAUUGGAAACAAGAUGCGAUGGAAGAUGCUCUCCCAGAAAGGCGUGGAGAACUUUUUGCCUCUUUCAUUCAGCAAAUCAAACAACACCUCCAGAGCGCAGUUUCUAACUUCAGGUCUAAAAUCUGACGUGAGAUCAGAUAAACCAGCAAGCAUCGGAUACCAGUAAUGCUCUGUCACAUCAAAAGUUUCAUCCUCAUUGGUAUUGACAGGCUUGAGAACACCACCCGGUAUAAGUCCCUGAGCAUCAUCAUACGCUAGACAAAUGAGCAAAUGUAGUUCCAGAGGGAGAACUUACAAGAAAGUGAGGGAAUCUGAAGACUGAGAAAUAUGAGGGAAUUUGAAGACAGAGCAAAAAGUAGAUACGAACGGAAAGGAGUGUGGGAUAUAAUGACGAAAGUUAUAAUGGAAGAGUUACAUGCUGAAAUGUUAAAGCUACAUUUAGCUUGAAAUCAUACCUCUGCAAGCCGAUCCUCGCAUAUUCUGAGAAGGGCAAUAGCUUUCAGGCUUAUCCUGUCUGAAGCUUUGUUAUUGGCAAACCGGAUGAGACAGUUGACGCAAUCCAUGAAGCAGUCACCGAUCACCUGGUCAAAGUGUUCCAGAAUAACUGCAAACAAAACUAGUGGUUAAAAAACUUUUAUCCAAACAAUGAAGUGAGAAAAUACACUCAAACUAUGAUAUAAGUUCAAGAGUUUUUGUGGACAGUUUGUUACCUUGCUCCACAUUCUCAAAUGAUUUUUCAACUAUGGAUUCAACAUCGUCAUCUGCAGCUGCUGUAAAUAUCAUAAAAACACUCCUCCAACCCGAUUUUAUACUUCCAACUUUAGAUUUGAUCAUCUACAAGAAAGAAGAAUGAUUAGGUGAUGAAAAAAGGGCUGCAUACAACUGAGUAACAAAAACAAAGGAAAAAUAUUAAUAUUCAAAUUAGCAAAGACCAGCAUGCAACCUGAACGAUGCAGUCAACAAUUAGGCUUCUUAUGGUCUGACUUUGAGUAUUCCGCAUGAUAAUAACGAACGGUUUGAGAAUAUCAUUUUGAAAGGUAAAAUUGGUGAGCUCAGCACGCUCCAAAUACUUCAUCCCGAGCUGUCUAAGAGAAUCUAUGGCAUACAUUGCAAUCUUUUCAUCAUGAUGGCUACCAGCAGAUACGAAAUGUUCUGCAAGGACAGACCAUAUUCUUGCCCAGACCUGGUAUGUCACAAAAGCAAACACAAAUUAAGUCAUAUUAGCCUAAGAUACAUAAUCUAUCACACUACAACAUUACUUAGACAAGAGAGUCAGGAAACAGUUUUAUAACAGACACCAAAAAUUAGAGAUAACCCAAAGUUAUAACAGAACAGAGAGCAACAUUAACAUAUUUUCCACGACUUUUUGAUUAUGUUAUGGUGAAGGCUGCUCAUGCUUAGCGUAUCCAUACUUUCAAGUUGCAUGAGCUGCAAAGAUUGGGUAUGUGUUGUCACCUAUCAUAUGUAACCAUGCACCAAGUAGAUUAGAAGACUAUCAGAAGAGUACCAUUCGAAUACGAGCUAUAUUGUAGUAACUGAUCUCAACGAGUUUCUGCAAGCUGAAAACCCGGGCAGGAGACUGUUUCAGUUCUUCCGCUGAAACACCACAUAAAGCAGUAAAGAAUUCCACAACAGAUUCGCUGGGCAGCUUCACACUGUUUACAAAAACUUGUUCAGCCGGUCUUCCCGCUAAUUCCUUCAAUGAUUGAACAACCCCAUCCCUGGAUAUCUGGUUUGAUCCGUGCAUUACUGUUGCAGUAAUCCCAGGAGUAGAAACAAUGAAUUCAAGCCGAGAAACACAUUCUAGAACUGCAUUCCAGGUAUCUUGAAGGGUAUCAGGUUCUGAGUCACACAGAGCCAGUAAUAUCCUCAAUGCUUCAACAUUUUUGCUCCUCAUUUCUUUCGGAGCAUGCAAGAACGUGAACCUAUGGACAGUUUGACGAAAAAUAAUCAAUAUGCCACAGAUUUCUGUAGUUUACAUAAAUAAAUAGCCAAUACACAGCGAAACCUAAAUAAAUGCUCCACACUGAAACAUAAAAGGCAGUAUGAAAUAAGUGUUGCAGGUUUACCUGACAAGCGAUGUUAGAAAGGCAUAGCGCAUUGUAUCCAUUCCAAGAACAAAAGCAAUAUGUAUGCCAGCUUUAAAUCCUUCCAUGCAGAGAAGAAUUCUUGGUUUGUUAUCACCUACUUCCAUUGUAACGGAGAAAGCAGCAAGCAGAGGCCAGCCAACAGCUUCAACCAUGGGCCUUAUUAUGUCCACUUGCUCUACAGUGUGGAAGACUCCUCUUUUCACUCCAUCCUUUCGGAAAAUUUCCUGUGUUUUCCUAACAAUAUCCUCAGUCUCAGACUUAGCAUCGGCUGCUGAUAUUCGUUUUGGCAAACCCAGAUUAAGAAUACUGACAAGACCACCUUCUCCUCCUGGCCUUUGACUGUUGAUUUUCCUUAUGCUGCUGUCAUCAUCUUUGAGUUUUAUCUCUUCUUUUACAAUAGAAUCAUAUAUCUCUUCGAGAAGUUCAGUUGGAGCACAAUCUUCGGGAUCAGUUGUAGCAUUCAUACGUAUAAAAUCAGAUUUUGACAUUUUAGGCCAAACCAUUGGAUUAUGCGCAUCUGUAUUUAACAUGAUAACUGCAUAGGCUAGAACAUAGGCAGUAUCUGCAUUCUUGAAAAGACCCGGAUUGUCUGCGCAAUAUCUAAUCGAAGGAAACAGUGGAAAAGAAAAUGUUAGCUAUCAAUGGGGAAAAAAAAGAUAAUAUAGACAAAUGUAUAUUUUCAGUUCAAGUAAUAAAUAACAAGCUUAAUAUUUGUAUUCCAUUCAAAAGAUGAUCUAAGGAGAACAUAUCAUACCUCUCUGCAAACUUUUCCAUAAUGCGAUCAAUUUUUUGAGCCUCUCCAGGAAGUCUGAAACCUUUGAGAAAUUCACGAAUAGCUGUAUGAAACUUCAUUUCUGAAAAUUUCAUUGAAUCAACAUAGGCAUGCAUAACAGCAAGAGGAAACUCCUCGUGUUGGCCCAGGUAAUCGCCAAUCAUGACCUACACAUAAGAAUGGUUAUCCCACCUAUAAAUACUGAACAUAAAUUCUGCACAAUACGACUGUUACACCUUCUUUAAAGUCGAAGUACUUCUUAGAAACUGAGCAACUGAAGCAGGAUUCCUUUCGACCAACUUGUUUGCUAUUAGGUAUUCUAUACCCUUCACUGAAUUCCUGUUGAACUGCAAAAAUAAUUACCAAUGCGUUAGUAAUGUGACUAUAGUGACAACCAUCAGGAUGUUAAACAAUAAUAACCUCGGAGAUAGCCGCCUCCAUUGUGGAUUUAUGAGCUUUAGCCUUCUCAAAGUUGCUUGGCACAUCUUCCCUGCUUUUGGUUUCAAUUGGCUCCCUAGCAGAAUCAGAGUCCUCGUUUACAUGUCUUGUACUAUUUUCUGCCUCUUUCCUUAUUUUCUCCCAAUCAACAAGUGAUUUAAGAACGUUCACCAGGCACUGGAAAAUUUUAAGAAAACGGUUCCCCUAAUUGAUUAUUGAAUACUUCACAAGGAACCAGAUCAAAUAAAUAAAUUAAUAGCAAUUUAAGUAAUUUAUUUAUGGGUGCAGGUAAAGCAAACGUGACAUGACGCCUACCUGAAGGGAUGAACCUUUAACUGAAGCUGUCUGCGAAGCCAUGGCAGGAUUGGGAUCAGCACUUUGAGUACCUUGAGCAAUUUUGGAGAGUGUUGUUACCUAGAAGAAAAGAAAAAGAUGCAAUAUGAGCCCUAACUAUCAGUCACAUUGCUGACGUACAGUAGUUAUAUAAACAAGAAGAAAAUGGAACACACCAUGCGUUCAAACAAGUUCGGGGCCUCUAGAUCACAAUCAUAGUUUACAUAGACAUCAACAAGCAUCUGAGGAUCUUUACAGACUUUUUCAAGCAUCCUGCAAAAAAAACAAAAAUUCACAAAAAAAUUCACAGAAAAAGAGAUAGUACACUCGUUUAAGAGAUAAUACAGAGCAGAAUAACACUUUACCUAAGAACACCCAUCUUUUGGUCAUUGGGACACUCUGAGUUAUCUAAUGAUCGUAAGACGAUGAUGGGGAAAAAGAUACCAAUUUCACCCUAAAAAUAAGAUUUAGGAUCAGAAAAUAUGGUAAAAGGUAACAAUCAUCGCAAAGAAGAAAUUCAAAACAGGAGACAUCACAUGCUUACUUUUAAACUAUCUCUGAACCGAAGUAAAAGCACGGAGAAUAUACCAGAUGCAUACUGUCAGAAGAUAAAUCCUAGUUAGAUACAACAUUCUAAAGUGAAUCCUCAAACAUCUACAUGAAUUGGAAAAUCAAACCUGAAAUAUGACAGAAGACUGGGAAACUGAAGCUCGUAACAAUGCAUAUGAGAGGUACGCUUUCACCGAAUCAAUAAAGUGAAAGUUCUUCGUAAACGAAUGACUAACUCCUUCUAGCAUACCCUGCGUAUUGCAAACGUAUGUGUUGCAGAAAAGUUGGUCAAACUUAACAAACAAAAGGAACAUUCAGUGCAAUGCAACAUUAAUAACAAUGUCAUCAAUCCUUCUAUGUUUUCAGAAACUCAGCAUAAGAAAAGAGGUAAAUAUAGGCCUUGCACAACAUUAAAGUUAUGAAGAUGGACAGCAACUGUUUUGAGUGUAAAUACAACCUAUAACACAAGGCAUGCCUCAGAUAUUUAGGCAGAAAGCAACAGAGAGUUCAUAGAAAGGACAAUCAUGUCUUACAGCUCUAUUUGACUACAAAAUAAUAAAGUUUAUAUGAUGCUCUAGUGUCAUGUAAUGCCUUUAGUUAUAAAGUUACAAGAUAAUGUAACUAAGUUUACCUGAAGAAGUUCAAGAGACAAUAUACGGGUCUUGGUUGUGACUUCGUCACUAUCUUCUUUCAUGCCCAUCUGAUACAAAAUUUGGAAAAUAUGUCACAGAAGCACCACAAAUAGAUAGUCAAGGAUAGAGAGAUGGAACCUCAAAAAUCCAACCUUGCAAAGGGUACGGAAAACUAGCAAUGCAUCACGCUGUCCAAUACUCAUGCUCUCUAGCUCGAUGCCCCUACGGAAUUAACAUGAAUUGAAUAAGAAGGCAUGGGUUUUACAAAGAGCAAACAAGUCGAACCCAUUAUUUCCUAAUCGUUACAGGUGAGUAUGGGCAUAAUGUAUGUUCGGUCACAAGCAAGAUUAUAGGUGUAAGACAUGCAUGUGCGUAACUUGUUUAGGAAAAACUUAAAUUCAAAUAUUGUGCAGAGUGGCAUGAACAAUACCGUUUUAUCUUCUUGCCAUCUUCAAGAUGCACAGCUUUGUCAAGGGCGGCUUCUAAACCCUGAUCAAAGAAUUAAGAACUUCAUCUCCGCAAAAACCAACAACAAUAUACAAGAGUUUUCUAUCUACUCAGGAAGACUGAAGAAACAAUCCUCGAGAAUUUCUUCCAGACUCACAAAAUUAUAAUUUCUUACAAAAUUCAGCCAGGAGAUUCUAUAUAGACCAUAUGAGAUGCAUACGUCAUAAAACUAUAUAAUGAGCGAGCGUGCGAAGACAAGUGACUACCAAAUAUCUCUACUUAUCCAACGAAACAACUCGGUAUAUAAAAAACGCUACAAAACAUAUGCAUUUCUCUUUUACUAGGAUUUUUUUAAAAAAAAAAAACUUUUUCAAGAUUCCUUUUUUGGAAGAAACAUCUGUAUUUCCGUCACGGCAACUGAGAAAAGUUCGAGAUAUAAGUUCAAGACCAACCUUAAUAUCAGCACCGCCCACAAGGGUAUGCAACUCUUCAACAGAAGCCAGAGUUGUGUCUUUUGCUUGAGUGAGUGCAUCGCCUAAUGUCAUUUCUUUCUCACUUUGGUCAGCUGCAAUAAUUUCUUCAGUUUUAAGGCUUGAACUGUCGCCUGAAACAUGUUCUUCCUGAGAAACUGAAGAUGAUGAGGAAACCUAAAAUUGUACAUUCAAUUAUCAGCGCAUCCAUACAACAGUUACUAUGUUUUCACUCAAUCAAUAAAACAAACGCAACACUGAGAAAUUCAAAUUCCUUACAAUGUCAGUCUCCAUUCUCCGGAAUACAAUGCUUAUCAUCUGAGUCAACAUUGCUUUAGAUGUUGCUUGGUUUAUUGGGCUCUUGCUACAUGUAAAUACUGCAUUUAGUGAUUGCAACCGGAGUGAUGAAAAAACUCAGAUAAAAGGAGAGAAAGUAUACCUGUUUAGAGCAAUAUUAUAGCAAACUCGAAUAACUCCCAGCAAUGGUUCCCCGUGUACUGCGAUCAAAACAUAUUAUAGUCAUCUAAUUUGAUAUUGCAAGAACAAUAAAUAAGGAAACCGGAUCAUAUAUCUAAGAGUUACAAACAUAGCUUUUUCUACAUCAGAGGCUCACCUUUGAACUUUCCUGAAGCAACAGCUGUAAGAAGAACCUUCAGCACUUGAAGUACAGUGCUGCAUAAAUUUUUCAGCUUUAAGAACUGGUGUGGCCAAUCUCAAGAAGCUUUGGAAACAGAGAGGCACAUACCUAUCUGGCGAUGAAUUAUCAAUACAGCUGCAAACCAUGUUUAGAAUUUCGGUGAAAGGUGCAGAAUUCUUCCCGCCAUCCAAACCCGGAUCACCCUCCAAAUGAUCGUAGGCAAUGAGUUUCUGCUUGCAACAAAUAAAGAGAAAAGAACAUUUACAUAACAUCAAUAGAAGGACUGGAGAUACACUACAGAACUACAGGAAUCUUAGAAAAGCAAUUUUUAAUGGAGCAAACAACCAGGGAUGCUCAAAGAAAAAAGAAAACAAAGACAUACAUGAAGACAGUCCAAAGCAGCAUCAAAAAUCUUCAAGUUCUUUGUCUCAAAUGCAAGGCGUAGAGGCUUCAGAACAAGCUCCACUUCAGCUCCCCCUAAUGUGUGUCCAGCAUUUGCUAAGGAAAUGUUGAUAGUCCCGCUUUUUGACUGGCUGGCCUGCUCGGCCACUUCACCACUCGGGACUUUUUGCGGUUCAUCUGCUUCUCCUCCAGUUUUUGCACCUUCACCUUCAGCUUGUGAUCUGAAGAUGAAAAUAAAAUAUAAUGGUAGUAACUUAGAAAUAGACCACUCCUGAAAGAUGGGUAAAGGGCAACAAACUAGAAGAAAAUGGAACGCUGGUCUGGUCAUUACCUCUCAUCUAUGCUCGAGGAUGCAGCCUGUGUAACAACCUUGGAACCAUCUGUAAAAUCACAAAUGGGAGCUAAACAAGUUAGCAAAAGAAACUUGUUUAAGAGGAACUAUACAGAUCAAUUGACACCUCAGCUGGUAGUAAUAGACCACACUUCUCCUGACUAGAACGUUCUUGUAAACUUAACAAAUAACACGUUGCCCAAUUCGCAUCUUUGUCCACCGUUCACAGAUACAAACUAUAAGCGAGAAGUUGAUCUAAGGCCUAACAUCUAGCAGAUAAUCAAUUUUCUUUUUAUAAAAAAAAAAAGGAGAUCUGACCUUGAUAGGCUUGAAUGGCUUUCUGGAGAUCAGGAAACUUCUUGCCCCCAGAUUCCUUGAGCAUCGUCUCGAACGCUCGGCUCACAAAUCCACCCGCCGCCAUAUCAAAAUUUCGUGAACAAUCAAACACUCGAUCGAACGAAAUAGAGAUAGAUCGUUGCAGUUACGAGGGAAUCGAGAGAGAAAAUGCCUGCGCUCUCUGGUUUUUGCUUUAUUCCAUUGACCGAAGAGGCUUUGAUCGAAGAGAGAUCUGAAGCAGCGAAACGAGCCACUAGCUAUAGAUCUAUUUUCUCUUUUUCCUCUUUAAAUAACCAUUUCCUAUGUCACCCAUUUGAACCGGGAUUUUUAAGCUUUAUUUAUUCCGGUUUCUUUGUCUUUUGUUUAAUAACUUAGGCUGUAAUUGUUUACUAAUUUUUUAGUUCGAAGAAUUGAUAAAACCAACUCAAAUAUUAAGUCAAACCUAAAAGUGUAUUCCAAAUUUUUUUUUUCGGAUACAAUUUUAAAUUUAUUGAUCAUCGUAAAAUAAUGUAUGUAGAAGACCUAAAGUUUUUUAGGUUUAAAGAAUAGAAACAAAGCUUAAAAAAUUAAAGAGUAUUUGCUUCAAACCAUCUUCUCAUCAGACCUUGUAGUCUUGGUUUCAAAACAUAUCCAGUGGAAGUGAUACGUAUUGGACCCAAUUACAGUCAAUACAUUAAUGGGCUGCAAUCAAAGGUAUGGACUGUAAGGAACUGAAACCCAUAGCAAGUAACCGAGCUCAAAAGCGAAGCCAUCGAAGUCUCGGAGAUCGCGGAACAAGAAACGGAGAUCGCAGAGCAGUUACAAAAGUCACGAGGUCGACUCACUAUAAGGAAUGAAGAACGAACAUGAAGAAGGACACGUUGAAAAUCCUAAAGAGAGCUACACACUUACAUCGACCUUGUUUUCAUCCCAAUCUUAGACUCUUUCUUUACGGAUCUCAUUUGUAUCACUCGAUCUAAUUCAACUCAUUGUAUUCGAUCUUAUUCAAAACAUAUAUAGAUGGUUCAACCAGUGAUUUCGGUUUGAAGUGAUGAAGUUACAAGAAAUAUCGUUUAAAUUAUCAAUGUACCAUUUCAGUUAUAUAAUACACCGGCUAAACAAAAGCGGAAAACAUUAUAAUAUAGGUUAGUCGUAUGUUUAGUCUAUAAUGGAUCCUUAAUUGUAUGUUGUAUCCUAGAGAAAUUAAAUUGGACUAACAUAUUUUGAAAUCAAUUCUAAUGAUGUGACCUCAGCAAAAUUGAAAUGUAAUAAAGUGACACAUGAGCAAAGUUCAGUUGUAAAUAUUACAUAAUAUAAAUUUACUAUUUUUUUAAAUCUUAUACAAUAAAGUAGACUAAUCUCUCUCCUCCUUGAGCCACAUCAUCAGGUAAGAGUGGGCAAACUGCGACACGUCAGCAAGCUCAACCUCGACCGUUCAAUGUAUUUGCAAGCAGUGGUUCUUUAUGGAUAGUGUCGUUUGACUGAGGAAUCUUUUUGAAACCAACUCUGUCUCUUCGCUUACCCUAGCAACCACAAACUUAGGAAACUGGCCACUCAUCAAUCCUUCUUUGUAACUUAGUUUUACAUUUACGAUCCAAGACCCACCUCCCAUUACGUGACAAUAAUUUUCCAACUCUUGCUCUUUCGACUUUCACUAAUUUGAUUCUAUAAAUAGUCAUGUCUAUACCAAGAAUUUCAUCACUCACACAACCUCCUUACAAAAGCCAGUAAAAGACAGUCCAAGAGAGAUGGAUACAGUGGGAAAAGAAUUGCUGGUGUAGGAGAUAAGAAGAAAAGUUUUGCCCACAGCUCCAUCGCCAACACUAACGCACUUUAUAAUAAUUCGUAGCUGUUGUUGUUGUUGAUACUGGUGCUGCAGACACAGAAGCUGAAACUGAUUUGAGAUAUGAGAAUAAGACUCUCUGAUUUAGCUUCUCUUUCUCUUUUUGUGCCCUUGGUUAAGUGUAGAACGAAACUGAGACUUGUGAGGAAAAGCUGAAUGAUUUUGAAAAAACGUGGAAGAAAGGAGUCAACUUCAGUUUGAGAUGUCACGUACACAAAAGUAUUUUGAAUCCAUAGACUUGCUUUUUAUUUUAUCUUCUGUUGACAAUUCUUAUGUCCCAUUUUGUUCAAUAUGACAUACAAAACUCAAAGGUCCAACCUUUUUCAGCAAAAGAUACAAAGUAUUAUAGAAUAAAUGUAGUUUAUGUGUUGGUGCGAGGUCACUAAAACGAUACAGUUAGUAUGUUAAAUCAUUAUUAAGGUUGUAUAAGCGUAUUCUUUUAAGAAACACUUUGGAAUAAACGAAUUAAUUGGUACGAGACUGUUGACUAUUUAAAGUUAUCAACAAAAAGAUCCGAUGAUGUAAUAUGAUAUUCAUAUUUGAUUUCUUUUCUUUUUUCUUAUAACAGAGGAUAGCCAGCCAUACAAUUUUGGUGUAAGAAAAUAGAUCAAUUAAAAAGUGGAGAAAACAAUUUGUUGGCGCGUAAGAUUUUCACUUUUUAAUUUUAUCACUUGCUUUUAUGUUAAUAUAUAUAAAUGAAAUAGCGUUAUUUAACGAAUUAAGUUUGUUCUUUCAAUAUAUAUUUUUUAAAAAUGGUUAUGUUUAUACAAUGGAUAGACCACCAAGCAUCAUCAUUAACAAGAAAAAAAGGCAAGUCAAUCAUUAUUAUCGUGUUUAUGCAAAAAGAACAUAAUUAAAAAUUAUGAUUUCUUUCUUUCUAACAUUCAUAAUGUAUCUUUAUGCAAAACUAGAGUUCAAUCACCCUAAAAACGUGUAAGCAAAUAAACGAAAUAAUAUUAACAUGUUUAAAGAUUUAGUUCAUUUUUAAAUCAAAAUAACAUUAACAUUCAUUUUUUUUUUCUAUUACAACUUUCAUUAUUUGUUCCACUAUAUAAUCAAUAGUACAUACUACUGAGAUGAGACAUGCAAGGAGUUUCCAAACCCCAACCGCUGGAGCUCUGUUGAAAGUAACCGACAUUGAAACUAAAGCUGCCACUGAAACCACAUUCUACAUAAACCUAAUUCAUAUUAUUCUCAAAAGAUCCACCUUAAACAAGAAGUAUGUACUACAAUGUAAUGAAAAAUGGUCAACGGUGGCAAGUGGUUGACAAUGCAAAGGAACAAUACAUAGAAAGGAUUAUGCAAUUUUCCAUUACAAAAACCCUUAUGGCCUUUACAACCUCAAUAAGUUUGGUGUUUUAAUGUUAUGUAGAAGAAAAAUAGAAGAAAAGAAGAAUCAACUAUAGAAUAAAGAUAAUAUGAAUUCAAACUUCACACCAAAUCCACGGAACAUGUUGGUUUCUUCUACACUUAAACCAUCACUUCAAUGCACAUAUUGGCAACAGUUUCAAAUUUAUGGAUCAAGCAACCAACAUAAAUUUUCAUAUGUUCCACAUUUUUACUUAAGUGCUUUGAACAACUCCUUCAUCACUUCCUUUUUUUUUUUGAGAAAAUCUCCUCCAUCACUUACGAACUGAAAAUAUAGCAAUACAUCUUCACAAAGACUAUGUACAAAAAAACACACCAAAAUAAAAAUCAUAAAUCAUUUGUUCUCCAACUUGCAUCAAAAGCUAAAUACACUUUCAAAAUAAAUUCUAAAUAUCACGGUUCAUUACAUCACACAUAACUCCCAAAUAAAUAAAAUAGUUAUAUGGAACAAUCUGGUGACAAAAUGAAAACUGAUCUUUUACAAAUCAAGUUGCACCAAAUUUUACAAAAAUAUAAAUGCAAAGUAAUUAUUCCCGCCCUGUGAUUCUCAAUUAAUACAUGAACUAGGUGAUAACCCGUACCCUGCGCAGGGCGAGUAGAUUUAAAAGUAUUAUAACUUUUAAUAUGUAGACAUAAUAAAAUUUAAAGUCAUAGUAAAAAAAAUAUAUGUAAAAAAGUACGGGUUAUAGCUAAGAAUUUUAGUAUGUAAUAUAAAUUUAUAUGCGAUGGACUUUAAAAUUAAAUUGUAUAUUUUUUUGCAUAAAGGUAAAUUAUAAAUAUAAUAUUAAAUGAAACAUAAGCAAUUGUCUAAUAAAAUAUAAAAGGAACAAUGUAUCAGAAAAUAAAAGAAAAUGAAAAAUAGAGACAAAAUAACUGUUGUCAAUACUGUCUUCAAAAGUCUUCGUUUGCAAUCCUAUUAUGAGCAAUAGCAAAGAGAUCAUCUUGAGAAAUUAAAAAUAUUAUUUAACAAAAUAUGUGAAUGCAUGUAUUACCUCAAUCGUAAAGCAUCAAUUUCUGGAAUACCAGUGGGGUCGAAGACAAUUUUGGAAAACCGAUCAAUGUUAGUAUCCUUCUUAAGUCAGCCUUAUUAUGAAGGAUGAAGUUCUGGUCACGCAAACUUAAUUUCACAAAUAUUUACAUGUGAUAUUUGUAGCCUUCUUAAGUCGGCCUUAUUAUUGACGUCAAAUAGGUAAUAAAAUGAAGUUCUGGUCACGCAAACUUAAUUUCACAAAUAUUCUCCGAUCGAUUAAUGUAAGUAUUUCAAUUCUAAGAAUUUUGUUUCCUUGAAUACGUUAACAUUCUCAUUUUGUUUUUCUAUAAUGUAUUCGAUCCCGUGAUCAAGUCAAUUGUGUUUCUUUUAAAAUUUGAAGCAUUAAGUUUUGGGAAUAAAAAAAGGAUUUUCGUUGACUUGAAUCUAAAAGAUCAUAAAACGAUUUGAAGCUCAUAUUAGUUUUUCAAAACAUUAUGAUAAACAUGGUUAACUUGUUGCAGGGUUAGAUAUGAACUGCAAUACUGGUUAUGAUAUUUUCAUACAAAUCGACAUAUCAAGCUAAAAGAACUAAUUCAAACCGUAAAGAACAGAUUAUAAAGAAAUUUAAAGAACCAAUUAUUUACUCAAGCGUAAAUGAUUAUAAACACACGUAUAUUUUAUUGCCUUAUUUAAAUGAACCAAUUCCAAGUUUUUGAACAAACAAUAAAGUCUCUUUUUGAAUGGUAAUAAUAUGUUGCCUUAUUUAAAUAUUCUUUUUUUUUAAUCCGAAUGUAAUUUAAUGUUGAUCGAAAAUCUUAUACUAUAAUGUAAUGACCAGUGGCAUUUGUUUGUAAUUAGUCUAGUUGAGGAAGGGCUUUUAAAAAAAUAAAGUGAGAAUGCAUGUGGUGAUGACACUUAGAAAAUAACACAUAUGUACUAAACAUAUGAAGCCAAAGUUAUUUUUUAUGAAUGUUCCGAUUUUAUUGGCAGAUGUUAAGCUAAGACCUAGACGUGGUGAUGCAAGAAUAGAAUUGUGUGCAGCUUACCUUAAAGGCCCAUAAUUGUGAGCCCAAAUGUAAGAGGCUGAGGAAAUUGUUUAAGCAGAUAGACGAGAGACUGCCCAAAACGUGUAUAUGUUCUUCCGUAGCCACCCACCAUUCUCUUUGACAAAUUAGUUGUUAAACGAAGAAAAUGGCGGAGUUGCUUUUGAGUUCGUCGGCACAGUCUUCUCUCAGACCCAGAGGGAUCCUCUCGUUCAAUACCCCUUCUGCUUCACCGAUCCGAAGUCUCGCCUUCACUAGUUCCAAAGGUUUUCAUCCUUUAGCGUUCAAAUCUGCUCACCAAAGGUUGAUCACUUCUAUUACUGUUAACUGCGUCGAUUCGGGAGCCAAAGCUGUUGAAGUCGAACCUGUGAUCGGCGGAGGAGGAGGUGGUGGAAUCGGAGGGGACAAGUUCGGCGGGGGUGGGGGAGGCGGCGAUGAUAAUGACGAAGGAGAAGCCGGCGGGGAGGAGGAGACGCCUUUGCCUUUGUCUAUGUCGCAGAAGUUGACUCUUGGUUACGCUUUCCUUGUUGGAGGUCAGAUUCGCUUUUUAGGGUUUUAGACUUAAUUGGAGUCAGCUCAAGUUGAUGCUUUAGAGGUUCUGUUUUGAAUUGGCUUAUGAUUUUAACUAUAUGAGUUUUGUAAGUCUAGUGUCUAUCUGUGUAUGCAUAUCUAAACAAUGAACUUGACUUAUUGAAAAGUAUUCAAUCUGUUAAACUGUAGCUUAUGGCUUCAAUAUGUCUGAAACUUGAUGCAGUUGGUGGGCUGAUGGGUUAUCUGAAGAGCGGUAGCCAGAAAUCGCUGCUUGCGGGUGGACUUUCAGCUGCUGUUCUGCUCUUUGUCUUCCGUGAGCUCCCAACUAAACCUGUUCUUGCUUCAACCAUUGGUGUGGGUAAGGAAAGAAAGAGGUUUCCAGUAGCUUGCUAUUUUUCUCCGUGAAUGAAACUAAUACUCUCUCAUAACGCCUGAACUUGUUUUGUUAAAAGUGAUGGCGGGUGCAUUAACGUGGGUGAUGGGAACUCGGUACAUGGGUUCCAAGAAGAUAUUUCCGGCUGGAGUCGUGUCCUUCAUGUCUUUCAUUAUGACCGGAGGAUACAUACAUGGCAUCAUGCGCAGCCUUCACUAAGCAGCAGCCGCACCAUCACUUAGCUUUGCAGUUGUGUCUAAACGUUUUCUCGGGUUUAAAUUGGACUCUGUUUUUUUUUUCUGUUUGUUUACUUAUGUAAAAGUACGCAGCUUUGUAUUUGUUUUGUUUGAACCGUACCAGAAAUAAGAAAACUACCCAAUGUUUAACUUUCUUAUUUCUGAUGGAUUUAGUGGCCAGAAUCCUAACUCAUAGGUUGAUGAUCCUGACAAGAAUUAAAUCGAUUUCUCGAUUGAUGUCCCAUUUUGCUAUACAACAGACAAGAACUUUACAAAUUGUUGCGUCUUUGUGAUCAUAGACGUUCUUUGAAAGCAUGACAAUAACUGAUAUUUGAAUUAAUAACACAUGUAUUAUUAAGCAAGUAUAAGAUAAUUAUAUCCGUCUUAAACUUAGAAACAUAUAAAAUUUUCUGUUUAACUCAUAAACUCGAGUUAACUAGGGAUUUCCAUUCCAAAUAGCUCUCAACUAUGUCUAGACCACAAAGCUCCUUGACAACGGGCAUUGAAGCUGGAACUGGCAACUGAAACAUUAAACUCGGACCAUCCUCACCCUUCCACAUCCUUAGCUGUUUCCGCGCUUCUUUAAUCGCCUCUCUUGUAGCGCAGUGCACCGAAGCUGCCAGUAGCAAAGGAGGCUCUCCUGAAGCUGUAUUUACAUACAAAAACAAAAUUACUGAAAAGUUAAUUCCAAGAUCUUCAAAUGUUUUUUUCGUGUGUAAAAACUACGGACCUUUAGAAGAGAGUACACGCUUUUCAUGGCGUCCACUAUUCAUCAUCUCAACGUUGAACUGUCUUGGGAUGGUGUCUACAGUCGGUAUCUUGUAUGUCCAUGUGCUGUCUGUCACAAGGAGUCCUUCUGAAUCGGUUAUGUACUCUUCAAGCAUGAAAAAACCAAGUCCUUGCACAAAAGCUCCUUCAAUCUGAAGACCGAAUAAAAAAAAAUAAUACCAUCACACAACUGUACUGUAAGUGAAGAAGAAUAAAUGUGUGUUUGUGUGUGUGCUCUCUAUUAUUAUUAUUUACCUGUCCUAAAUCGACAGCCGGAUUGAGGCUUUUUCCGGAGUCAUAUAAGAUAUCUGUCUGUAGAACCGUGGUAUGUCCGGUCAAAAGGUCUACCUCAACCUAUAUUGAUUGAUAUACCAAAAGUUACUCGAUUUCUAUAUUCCAAAUUCAGAAGAUAAAUUGGGAGGAGAAUACUAAAGAGAGAAGCUUACCUCGCUAACUGCAACACCAUAGUUCAGGUACUUUGUGGGUUUUUCUUCUGGAGUAUACAAGUCACUAGCUGAUAAGUUCACUGACUGAGCAUAUGCCUGCGUUUAUACAUAAGAAUCAAGAAUUAAUGAGAGAGAAAAAAAAUCAAGAAGCAGUCAGUGAGUCUUUAAAGAAAAAAAGAAGAGAAACCUGAGAAAUCAACUUGUUCCAGCUGAUGGGACCAUCCGAUUUCUCCAUUAGAGGUUUCAAUCUCUUGACUAAGGUUUCGCAGCAGAGACGAACAGCUGCGCAGCUUCCCUCAGAUGUUGUGCUACCUCCUGUAAAGUUUCCUUGGACCAUACUCAAUGUAUCUGAUUGUACAACUCUUAUCUUAUCCAGUAGCUCUUCAGUUGCACCACAUUUGAGCAAACCAAGAGCAUAGCUAGUCAUUUGCUUCACCUUUGUCCAUAAACCUUGUCCUAGCUCGAUCCCACCAACCUCAACGACUAUUGUUCCAUCGCUCAAAACGCUUACUCUCCCUGGAGUUGCAAACAUGGAAACCGGAUAAAUGAUUGGAACUCGAGAUAUCCCUCGUUUUCUCCAUAUGUUAAACUCGUUGAACAUUCGGACAAUCGAAACCCGCUCUUCAAAGUUGGAAGAUACACCCAGCUUAUCCCACAUGGAAGACAAAGUAUACUCAUGUGGCUCACCAGCAGCAUCCUUGUAGAAGAGAGCUAAGCUCUCAUAUGUAUGGAGAUUAAUAUUUCUUAUGGUAUCAGCCUCCAAGGAGAGGCUAGAAGCUACAUUUUCUAUAAUGGCUUCGGCGAUAUAGGUACCCUGAACAUCCCCUGGUGCUCUCAUGAUUGCUUUACUUACCAGGUUCGUUUUGCAAAGUUUGAUGUCAAAAGAUAUGGCUCCCCAAUUGUACUUCUUCAACGCCCCAAUGAUAUUCGAUGGCAUCAAUAUGCUAAGACCAAGAGUUGCUCCUGCAUCAAUUAGUAUUUCUAGCUUCAAAGCUGUGAUCUUCCCUGUGGAUUUGAAUCCAACGCUGUAGGUUAUCUUCAUUGGAUGCCUCCCACCAGUCAUGAUCAUAUCGGUCUUACGGUUUACAUAUGUCCGCACAGGACGCUGCAGUUUAUUAGCAGCAACAGCGCACGCUGCUGCAACCUGAGACGAUGGAAAAGCUUUUUGACGUUUCUUGCGUAGAAAGUGAGUGAAAAGAAGACAUUUAAUUAAAAACAAAAAAACAAAAAACUUACCGGCAUUGCUUUGACAGCUUUUCCUCCAAAGCCUCCACCGACACGUCUGGCUAUGACGCGGACCUUGUUUUCAGGGAUGCCUAGGCAAGUAGCGACCGUGGAGUGUACGUACUGAGGGAUCUGACAUGAACUAUAGACUACAAUGGAGUUGUCUUCAUCUGGCACUGCAAGAGCUGUUUGCGUCUCCAUGUAGAAGAAGUAUUGCGACCCAAGUCUUAUCUGUUUCAUAUCAAAGUAUUUUUUCUUUUUUAUUUUACAAAAAAAAUGUGAAGGAGAGAGAGAGAGACUAGAAUCACAAUACAUACUUGGGAGCUGAGAAUUUGAUGAUCAGCUUCGGACAUUCCUUUUAAGGUGUCUCCAACUUGUUGUGGAUAUAAGAAAGGAUAAAUCUCAAACAUGCUAGAUUUCUUAACAGCCUCUUCCACAGACAAGAUUGGUGGUUCCAUAUCCUCUGUUUCGUAAUCAACUACUGCAAGAUUAGCUGCAGUAUCUGCAUGCCUCUGCGUAUCCGCAACCUGCAAAAGAAAAAAUAUAUAUUAUGUGUGUUUGCUAGUGUGAUGGAAUGGAACAUAACUUAAAAAAACUCAUUGUUGACACAAGACUUACCACGAGUGCGAUGCAUUGGCCAACAUGAAGGGUUAACUCAUCUGCAAAUAAGGGCUCAGUGAAAGACGCAAACUUAAAACCCACAUUCUUUCCACUUUUAGGAACAUCCUCGCAAGAAAUGACGGCAACCACUCCAUCAGGUACCGAGUUAUCCUUGAAACGAAUACCUUUCAACUUAGCCGAUGGCUUUGUGCUGUAGAUGAAAGCUCCAUAGAGGCAGUUUGUGGGCGCUGGAAUGUCAUCCACAUAAACAGCCUCCCCAGAAGCUUGAAGUGAUGCUCCAGAUUUAGUAGCAGGAUCACCAACCGGAUAAAAUUCUUUGUCUAUUGGAACAUGUUGUGAAGAAGACAGCAUUGGCUGAUCCAAGUGGUGCCCAGGUUUCUCUAAGGAGUGAAAGAAGUUGAAAAGAAAGCCUUGAGCUAAGCUUGAUCUAUAAGCAGGAUUGCUUGUACCCUCUUGUGGCUUAACGAUCUUGCCAAGUAAGGUAAUAGCUUCAUAGAGAACAUUGUCAGUAACUACUUUCCCAGAGAGAAACUCCUCAACUUCCUUACACCUAAUGGCGUGUUUGGUCCCGUAAGCUCCAAAGGCCAGCCGACAGUUAAUAAUCUCCUUUGUAUCCAAAUUCACUUGAGCUAGGAAAGCAGCAUUCAAGUAAGCCAGAGCGCUUCCCAGCGGACGAGGUGCUGCUCUGUAGGUUUCAAAGACCACAUCUCCAGAGUUUCCUUCAUGAUGCCAAAACGGUAUUUCGAUACUCAAAACCAGAUCAUAAGCAUCAAGAGGAGGUCCCUGGAGAAACUGUUCAAGUGUUACCUUCUCCAGUCCUCUCGACAAGCUCAUAGUGUUAACCGAUGCCCCAGCUGCAACAAGUAUAGUGGCAAUGUCAGAAGGAAAGUUUUUCCUCUGAGCCAUUACAAGGUUUCCUCCAAUGCUGGCAAAGUUCCUGAUAAACCUGGCAGCGAUCUUCUCCAUAUGAGCAGCGAGCUUCCCAAACAUGUGAAUCUCUUUUAGAGCAGCAAUCACUUUAGAUAUUGUUGCCACAGCUCCUAUCUCAACCCCAUUGUGACUUUCUCUUAUCUCUCUCAUCUCGGCUAUUCGAGUAAGGUCCACGUAUUUAUCGUAACUCCCCUCCUUUUCAUCCUUGUAGUAUCCUGUGCUAGUAUUACCAGCAACUAGCUUCAUAGAAACUACAUCACUGUUAGCCUUACAAGCUCCCACUAUAAUUUGAAGCUCCUCAACACUCUCCGGGCUACACCAUUUAAGCGUUCCAGAAUCAAUACACUUAAUCUCACCAUCCUUGAGAAACUCUGGAAACGUACAGACACGCUUCUCACUAUCAAAGCGAGGCAAGCUAGUUUUCUUACAGAAAGAGUUGAAGCCAAGAUCCUCAAUGUCUACAUCAGAAGCAAAGCUCUUGCAAGCAUCAAUGAUUGGACGGUAUCCGGUACACCGACACAAGUUCCCGGAGACAGCUUUCUCUGCUUCAACAGCUGUAAACUCAGAGGCAGAAGAUUUAGAGUCUAAGAGAGCAGAGAAGAGAGAAACAGACAUUCCCGGUGUGCAGAAACCACACUGAGAGGCGUGAAAACCGGAGAACCGAUUGUGAAUGGAAUGGAAACCGUCUCUGCUGUUUCCAAGUCCUUCUGAUGUUGUGAUGCUGCAAUGGUUUACGCUGCAGAGGAGUGUGAGGCAAGAGCUGACUGUGAAGUCUUCCACGCUUUUGAGAAUAGGAUCGUAUUUGGAGAGGAGAACAACACAAGCACCACAUCCUCCUAAACCAAGACAAUAUUAAGAACUGUAACCAAAGAAAGAAGACAAAGGGUAAUGAAAUAAUAAUAAUAAUCACUCACCUUCGCCGCAGCUGAGCUUGACGCUCUUGAAAGGAGUCUGGUAGCGGAGGAACUCUAACAGAGUUGUUGAAGGGUCCACGGACGAGAGUUCAAGCUCGAACCUUUGUCCAUUAAUGGCGAAAACCAAGCUCAUUCUCUCUCUCUCUCUCUCUCUCUCUCUCUCUCUCUCUCUCUUUCUUAUCUCUCUAUCACUUCAAGUGCGUACUAGUAUAUAUUAUUCUGACUACUGCUUUGUCCACGUAUAAAAGUGAUAUAUAUAUAUUACCGACUAAAUUGACUUUUCUUAUAUUUUAUUUUCCUACACUUGUGUUACGUUUCCAAAUGGUAACCAUAGGAGAUGCCCACUAAAAGAAACAAUCUAUAUAUAUAUAUAUAUACAAAUCUUUAACAGAAAAAAAUAUUAUCACGUUGCAAAUAUAGAUGCUUUCCCACCACAAAGUCUAAAUUAUGAUUGGUUAUUUAUUUUGAUCAUUUUUAGGUCUUUUAUUCCUUGAUAAUAAAAAAAUCAAAAUGGCCACAAAUGAACACCUUUAGCAAGAGAAAUUAAUUUGAUACUUAAUAGUGCGAAAACUGUAUGUGGAUUCUCACAUCUGCUAAAAAGAACAAGAUAAGCUCUUGUUCCAUGACUUCCUAGGAUCCAAGACUGAAACUUUAGCAUCCAUUUCCAAGACUGAAACUUUAGCUUCCACUUCCAUGGCUGACCACUUCCAAAAAGAACAAGAUAAGCUCUUGUUCGAUUAUUUCAUCGAGCUUCGAUUCACUAUGAUUUUAAUGUGUAGAAGAAGAUCAUGUGAAUUAGUUUCUAUAGUUGGAAACUUUUCGUCCAUUAGAUCUCCUAAAUAGAAAAUUAGAACAUCUACAAGUGGAACAAGACAUGAGUGUACAUUGUUUUGUUUAUUUUAUAAAACAUGAACAUUGUUUUUUUUUUCUUUUGUGUUAGCAUGUGGGUUGAUUGAGCUCUGGUGUGUGAAGUGAAACACUCUUUAUGUCCUUCUCUGUCCAACCAUAAUGUCUCUGAUGGAUUAGUUGGGACAUUGGAAGUGAAUUUGACAAAUGAGUUUGUGAUGCUUUUUUAUAUGACUUGUUCUUCUUUAUUACCUCUCUCUAGCUACUACUACUACUGCUGCAAUUUCAUGUUGCUUAUCUAGAUUUUAUCUUUCUAUUAUUUGAAAGACAAGGCAGCAGUGGGGGGGGGGGGGGGGGGGGGAUCAUCUUGAUGGGAGACAACUGCUUGGACCAAGAAGUGAGGUUUCAGGCUCAAUCAUGAGCAAUCGAUUUUUAGGAAACAAGAGAAGUAACUCUGAUUCACAAUUCACGGCUCAAGACCACCCAGAGACUCUGCACUGGUCCAAGGUAAGAUAAACCGGAACCUACAUUACCUUACCGUGUUCACAGCUUCAAGGAACUCUGUUUUAUGUGAUCUGUCAUUGUCAAAAAGCAGAUGCUAAGAAACGGACCUGGAAGCCUCUCCAUGAAUAUGAACCGUAUGGCAAACCAGCCUCCACGAGGAGGAGGUGGACAAAUCAGUCAUUUGCUUCAUCAGCUGUCUUCAAGCAGGUUCAAGGAUGAAAACGUGGUACCAUCAGUUAUCUCCCAGACAGCUGCAGAUGAAGGUUCACGGACAGGGAUGAAAGGUCCAGGUGUCAUGAGUCCUUUUACAAUGCCAAAUCCGAGCAGAUUCGAAUGUUUUACCCCUUCAAGGUGUGAUGUCUCUAGUCUUGUGAUGCUUUGUCCUCAAGUCAGUUUCAACUUACGUACUAACUAUUGUAGUCAUCAGUCACGGACUUGUAAAGCUUUGUGUCUAUAUAAACAUGUGAACUCUUGUAGUCUUGUGAACUCUUGUAGUCUUGUCUAUAUAAACUUUUAUUCACAACACAACACUCUUCUUCAUUCAUCACACAUCUUUUCUCAAGUUCCUUCUCAAGUUCUUUUUUGAAAAUAAGUUUCCCUCGACUUGUAAACAAGUUUUAUAAAAAAAAUUCAUCUCAUGGUUUCUUUUUCUCAAAACACUUUUGAGGGAUCACUUGAUAAAAAUUUUGAUCAAUAUUUUGAUCAAACCUUUGAAAAUUUUUCAAUUCAUUACCUUUGAGAAUUUUUCCAUUCAAGUUCAGAUUUUUUUAAAAAUCCCUAAUUAAGAAACUUCCAUUGGACCGCUCAAAAUGAGAGUUUCUUAAUUAGAGUUCUUAAUCCUACUUAAAUACAUUUAAAAUAUUAAAUAAUCAUUAAAAACCCACUUAAGAAUCAUGGAAUAAUCAUGCUCUAAAUAUAACACUUUUAGAAUCACUAAAAACCCCAUAUGUGCCUCUUUGUUAUUGGUUAAAACAAUAAAGGAGAAAAUCUGACCUUCUCUUUCUUUCUCUUCGUUAAUGUCUUUUUUUUGUUUGGUCUGAGAAAUUGGUUCGUCGAUGUUCGUAGAUGUUUUGAAAAAUCUCUCCAAAUCAUCACACGAGAUCAACCGUUUGUUUGUUGGAUGAGAGAUGCUGAGCUUGGAUAAACAAAGGCCUGAAUCGUCAUCAUCGGAGGAGGCGCAAGCUGUGACUCCGUGGGUUGUCUCCGGUAAUGUCGAUCACGAGAAGGUGAUCGAAAAGUUCGGCUGCGAUAGGAUAGACGAGUGGCUGAUUGCUCGUGUCGAAAGACUCACCGCCAGUGCCGGUGCUGAUUAUUAUCUUUCAUCCUCCAAGAAAAACAGAGGUUUGAUCCCAAAGUUCAAAACUUUUCAUUCAUUCUUCUUUGGGUUUCGAAUUUCAAUGUACUUUUGUAAUAAGUUUAGGCUAAGAUUUGUGUAGAAGGUUGAAUUAGCGUAUAGCAAGACAAAGAUUGCGCCUUUGUGGGUACUUAUUUGAUAUAGUUGAAGAUUUGAGUAAAGCUUGUGACUUUGUUGGGUUUUGUAGGGUGUUUGGAUCCAGAGGAAGCUAUUUUCAGAACGGGAGGAUGUGUCUGGUUUGCUGAUGGCUUCUAAGAUAUGUGGUGAGAGGUCUGGUCUCGCUGAGGAAGGCAUAGACUAUGCGAGGAGAAGCUUAGGCAACGAGUGCGUUCAGUUAGAUGGUGCAGCGCGUCUUGUUUUAGGCAUUGCACUCACCGAAAUCUUUGAUGUACUGAGACCGAGCAUGUAGCUAGGCUCUCCGAGGGGAUGCAGGCGCUGGAGUCUGCUGAUAUAACAGACCCGAGAGUCCUGCACCGUCUUGCGUUGGAGAACGCAGAGGAGAGGAAGCUGGAUUCCGCGUUAGCUUACGCUAAGCACGCGUUGAAGCUUGGAGCAGAGUCUGAUCUUGAAGUAUGGUUGCUUCUGGCUCGGGUUUUAUCUGCUCAGAAGCGGUUUUCAGACGCCGAGACUAUUGUUGAUGCAGCGCUUAACGAAACGGGGAAGUGGGAACAAGGGAAGCUGUUGCGUUUGAAGGAAAAGUUUCGUGUGGCUAAAGGAGAAGUCAAGGAUGCUAUUGUGACUUACACACAGCUUCUCGCACUCCUUCAAGUUCAAAGCAAAAGCUUGAGUUCUGCAAAGAAGAUGCCAAAGGGAUAUUAUGUAGAGGGAUGUCUCAUCAUUUCAGGGAGAUGUGUGUUGGAGACCAUCUUGCUGAUGGAAGCUAUGAAGAGCGGGAUGAUCCUGAUGGUGGAUUGGAAGAGGCUUAUCAGGUGACUCGUAGUGAGAUUCACUUUACAAUCUGUCUGCAGGUUUCUUCCUGUUCCAUUUGUUGAUACCAUCUGAUCAAACUUCUCAUCACGACUGUUUGUUCAUUCACAUCUUUGAUCAAACUUCAUGUCAUGUAUGCUUUUUUCAUCUUAUAAAUAAAACCUCAUUGAGGUUCUUCAAAUUUUUUUUUUUUUUUGGGCUUAUUGUACUGAUGAUUUGCUAGGAUUUCAUUUUUUUCUCAAAUCUCACUUUAUUGGAUCUAUCAUUUAUGAAAAUAAUUUGGAGUUAUUUGAAAAUGAUUUAUAGUUGAAAUUUAAUGAACAUAAAUUCCAUGUCGUGAGUAGGUAUUUGAAAAUUUUAUCAGUUUUCUUUUUCUUCACUGAAUUUAGAAAACUUUUACUUUGCCCUCAGCCUUUGUUUCUUCCAGUGAAAAGCAAGAGAACUCAUUUCAGAAUUAUACUUGAGUAAAUGAAAGCGAUCAGGAAAAUUAAAGACUCAAAACAAAAGGCACAAAGAACAAAAAAAAUGAUAGUCUUAUCCGUUUCUGGGCUUUUUCAAGUUUCCGUUUCAGACGAAGCUGUAAGGCUUUAGCCGCCAGUUGAUUAACGCUUAGAGAUUCAAUACUGGUUUUGGUUUUUGAAGGUAAUGUUAUUUGCUCUAUGUUGAGUCUCUACAAUCUCCACUGAUUCAUUCUUCUGUUUAGAAGCAUUUCUUUCAUGAAGCUUCCAUCAUUUGAAAACCUAUUCAAGUGAGCUGCAGCUUCAGAUAUCUGCUUCCAGUGUUCAUGUCUAUGAGUUUGGCCCUUUUUUCCCUAAGAUAAUGAAAGAUUAUUUUUAGGGAAUAUCAAUACACGAUGACUCAUAUAAUCAUCCUUCAAAUACUCCCAACCAUUACCCUUCAAAUAAAACACGCCACAAUGGCAGAAUAUUGCCUGUCACACUGAAACGAGCCUGCAAUAUAUAUUUUAACUACCUGGUAAGAAACUAACCAUCUAAUCUGAACCAAUAAGACUGUAUUUCUAACUUAAAAUUCCCUCACCUCUUCAUAUAUACUUUCUCCCAGCCUUUCUGGUUAGUAGCAACAUCCUAUCAAAACCAAUGUUCUUUCUAACAAUAUACCAUUCUAACAACUAACUAUCAGUCUCUCCACGUACAAUCUUGGCUUAAAAGUUCAUCUCUUUUGCUAUGCAAUCCCAAGAAUAUGUAUGUAGCGAUACUCACAAAACUUUCCAAACAUAAUUCAAACCCCCAAAAUUAACCGUUAGAGCUUAGAUCUGUUCUCAAAUUCUCUGCAACUUGGAGUGAAUAACUGAAGAAACUAGUGUAUACCACCUUGAAGUGGAGCUUCACGGAUCUGUUCAAUCACUUUCUUAAGCUCUAUAGCCAUCACAAGUCUUUGAUGAACAACAAGGGACAGAACUGGAGAUGUAACUGGGAGAACAGCUAUGAUGGUUGUAAGAUCACCUCCACUUGAGUCAUCCGGGCAAAGCCAUUUCGUUUUCUUUUUUAAUCUAACGAGCUUUAACGACGUCAUUACGUAUAAAGACAAUCCUAUGGUUUUUAAAAAAAUCCUACCUAAAUCACCAUCUAAAUUACCAACAAAAUCUUCAAAUCCCUAUUAAAAUCUUCAAAUUCCACUAAAUUUAAAAAUCCUAGAAUUUUCUCAAAUCCUAGCAAAUCAUCAGUACAAUAAGCCCCCUAAAAAAAAAAUAUUUGAAGAACCUCAAUGAGGUUUUUCCAUUGGAGGAGAAAAAAAUUUAAUUAGAUUAACAAGGGUUCUUAAGUUUUCAUAUCACAAAUUAACUACUAAAUAAUUCAUUAGAACCUUUGAUAGUCUCUUACCAAUGGACAUGCUCUUAGAGUCAUGUAGGAUCUCUGAAUAGUAAAGGUUGAAGUUGAGGCAAUCCCAGAAGCGAGAGAUGUAAGACCUGAUCCCGGCCGACUAGGCCGCGGUCGAUGCCUCACGUCGCUCAGUCCAUACCCGGACCGAACCUCUAAAAAUUUUGCCCUUUAUUUAAAAUAUCGCCCAUUGGCGAGGGCUAACUCAGAUCCUAGCUCAAGACUACCUUAGUCAUUCCCUAGCUAGAUCCCUUCAACUUAUGCACAGCGGAAUAGUAUCUACUUAACCAUUGGUCUAAACCAAUCUAACACUUGUCUGGUCAGAUCACCUCAGCUACUGGUCAGUAAACACAACUGCCAGCUAGCUCCAAGGUCGAUCCUGAACCUAGACCAAGUCAUACAAUCAGAGGUUCCGUUCCCCUAAGCCAUUCUAUCUAGAUCUAUGCAACAUUGACAGAUCAUACUUUUGCCACAUUCCCGGAGCUUGUUAGCUCAUUGGCCCAGCUACGCUAGCUGAAGGAACUCGUAAACCAGCUGAUCGAGCUGUCACACUCGAACUGAGCUAGGACCGAGCUAUGACCAGCUGCCAUAUACUGCGUCCCGCUCCUUUACACACACAAAACAACUCCCUUAGGUACUUAGUCAUUCAGCCAACCAUCCCCACAGACAUAAGUAACCCUUGAGAAGUCUUCAAACAGCUAAGGACAUGCAUCUGGCCCUUACCGGCUCAUGCACUGUCUCACAUCCUUUUUGCCUUAUCAACUUAUGAUACCAAGUCCAGCUCAUGGACUAACAAUGCCCAUCAGAUCCUGAGUCAAUCAACCAACCACCCCACAUGACUCAGAACUGAUGAGUCUUCAUACUUCCUAAUCAGUCAUGGAACCAUGUUCCACUGAACCUGAUUAGUGUUGCUCUUACCACCGGUGCAUCCUUUGAUCAAUCAGAUCAGACACCUUGAUCCAUCAUCCAAGGAUCAGGUCGUCCAUCCUUGCCCAUGAUCAGAUCACACACGGCCUGCCUUACCAACACCAAGGUUGAUAACCAGCAAUUCCUUAUGAUCAAUAUCAUAAAUGACAAUAUGUUCCAGCACACAAACAUAUGAUCAGAUAUCCUAACACAAGGAUCUGACCCCAAUAUGCUCUCAGGUGCAAUUUCGACCGCAAGCAAACCUGCUCCAAAAAUCAAUUAAAAUUCAUGACAAUUCAUGAUAAAUCAUAACUAAGAGAAUGGUCCAAUCAGAUUUCCCAGAACCGGCCUCCAUCCCAUAGAUCUCGGCCAAGAUCAGCCAAACCGGCCCAAGGGACCAUCUCUAAAUCAAUCCCUAAAAACUCAUUAGGAUUCAUGAUAAUUCAUGAUAAAUCUUAACUAAGAGAAUGGUCAAGUCAGAAUUCCAAGAACCGAUCUCGAUCCUAUGGAUCUCGACCUAGAACAGCCCCACCGGCCACAUUGACCAUCUCGAAAUCAAUCAGAUAAAAAUCCCCAAAUACCAUGAUAAUUCAUGAUAAUUCACCACUAAGAGGAUUCCAAAGUCAGAUCGCCAUAAAUCCAUCAGGAAGUAGGAGAUCCGGACUUAGCUGCCAAACCAAGGCCAUGGAGGGUUCUUCUGAACCGGCCAAGCCAUGGUUCAGUGCUACUAUGUCUAAUCAUCAAUCUCAAUCAUAAGAAGAAGAAAUAAUAUGAUUAAUAAUCAUAAAACAGAGUAAGGUGUAACUGAAGGACCAGAUCAGCCCAUAGUGUACCAGACUAUGUCCAAUGGUCUGCAGUCCCCACCUGUUACCUCAUCAGGGGCGUCCAUGCUCUUCCUAGCACGCCUUCAUCAAACCCUUUUCACAUACUUCCAGUAUUGAUAAGAUCUAACCAUGGUUCGUGACCAUCACUCCUUCCAUGGAACUUCCAUGAAACCAGUUUCUACACUUCAUCCACCUUCAAGGCUAUUCAUGCCAUUGUGAGUGAAGUCCGGCCUUCUCCCUUCUCUCCUGGGUGUUUUCGUGUGUUCCCAAGAUGCAGAGGAAGCCUAGGACGUGUUCAUCAGUGGUGGAAACCUACCACAGGGUCGUUCAUAACUCCCCUUGCACUUCCAUGAAACUGCCUUUCUACACACAUCUGCCCUUAAGGCUGUCUUGGCCUUUAGGAAUGAAUUCCGGUCAUCUACCUUCUCUCCUCACCAUUUGCGUGUGUUCUCAGGCCCUGGAGGAUGCAUUGGGUGAUAACAUCACGGAUCAAAAGCCACCAGAAAGUCGUUCAUAACUUUCCCCCUUGAUCUCUCCCAAAACUGCCUCUUUAUGGCCUUCACACCACCAUGGGUCUUGGAUUGGAAAUCCGACCAAAUCUCUGUCUUUUCUCUGUGUUUCUUUGUGUUUCAGGGUGUAGGACUUGCCUUCCUUAUAUAGGAGAAGGGGUGGUUACUUCUUAACCAUUGCAUCCCUUCGGUAUCAUUUCUGGCCAUUGAUUUAAUCAAUGGUACAGAUUGCACCCUUUCGCCUAUGGCAGUUACCACACGCCCUGGAACUGCCAAACCACUCCUGGACAUGUCCAAAACUAUCCCACACGGACUGCUCAUGCCCCUGGCUAAAUCCCAAGAGCCCACUAGCCCAUCGGUACACACGAGUCACCCACAUGUCGCGGCCACUGUCCAGACCCGCCCCAACUGCCCAACACCUGAACACUCAGUCCAGCUGAGUUGAGCUGAUCCCCAGCUGAUCCAGCUGAGUGAGCUAGACCAUCCAGCUCAGGGAGCUGACCUACACUUCAGUGAGCUACACCAAGCUGCACUACACUUCACCUAGCUGGUCGAGCUUGUUUACUGCAUCGCCCAGCUGUUAUACACUGUGUCCAGCUUGCUUCCUUUAUCUUCUUCAAUCCUUCUAAGUCCCUUGGUCAAUUUCCAGACCUAGACUUAGUUUUCCCAUGAUCCAUUCUGAUCACUCACUUCAUCGAGCUUCACCUGGAUCUUGUCCAGCUACCAGCUCGCUUGUCCAGCUCCAUUGAGCUUGUCUCCUUCUUGGAUUAGCUAUGCCUUAGCUUCCUGAUGCUCUUAACCUUACCUUCAGGCCAUGAUAUACUUGUCCUUAGGUCAUAUGACCUGACUGGUGCGUUUCCUCGCACCACAGUCCGUCCGGACGUUCCUAUCCAGGAUCAGGGACAUGAUAAGUCUCCCCCACUUACGAAGGAUUCGUCCUCGAAUCCAGUGGUGUUAACCUCUUGUCUCAUGACAAAGGUUCCAUCCGAACUCCUUUGUACCCGGAACAUGGAGCAUGCUCGAUUGGUUCUUUCUAACCAAUUCGUUGCAUCUCCCACCUUGUUCCUUCUCACUGACCACGUCUUGGUCAUCAUAUACACAACAAGUCUCCCCCCUUGAUAGAUAUUUAACCCAAAAUCUUAUCAAGUGGUUCAUCAAGCACCCAUACAAAGAUAUGACUUGUGUCACUGACCCAACUCUCCAGGUUGCGUUCCUAGUAGACACCAAGUCCAUGUAGAACACUUCAGUUCCAUGACUAGAUCAAAUUCAGUACCUAGGAACAUACUGAGUACUCAAGUCUUAGUAGAUUCAACCAAUCUCCAAGCCACUCGAUGCACCAGCCAAGUCCUAGCGAACAUGUUCCAAUCUUUAGGCUGCUCACUCUACCAUGAGUCCUAACAGAUUGUUCUGUUCCCUUAAGUCCUUCCUGGACAAUAAGGUUUAUGAUUCCAGCAACUCAUCAAUCCUGGGUAAAGGGUACUUGUUCUUCACAGUCACCCUGUUCAAACCCCUAUAAUCAAUGCACAACCUAAAGCUACCAUCCUUUUUCUUAACAAAUAGGACUGGUGCUCCCCAAGGUACACUAGGGCGUAUGAACCCCUUCUCAAGCAACUCCUCAAGUUGCUUCUUCAGCUCUGUCAUCUGAGCUGGUGCCAUUCUAUAUGGACUUUUAGAUAAUGGGGCCGUUCCAGGUUCCAAUUCAAUGAUGAAUGGGUCAGCUCUAUCAGGGGGAAUGCCCUGUAGUGCCCCAAACACAUCCUGAAAUUCCCGAACCAACGGUAUACCCUCUGGGUCACAGGCCCCUACAACCUCAUCAGUGUAAAUGGUAGCCAAAAAGGCCUCACAACCAUUUCUAAGCAUCCGUUCUACUUGGACUGCUGAAACCACCAACUACAAGAGGUUGGCUUGAUUCCUUGGUACUUAAUCGGGGUCCAAACUCGUUCUCAAGUUGCACCCUUCCCCGGUGACAAUCUAGAGUUGCCCGAUACUUUCCCAACCAGUCCAUGCCCAAGAUCACUUCAUGAUGCUUGAGGGGGACAACAAUCAGAUCUAUAGGCAUCGGCCUAUCCAGGAUCACCACAGGGAUGUCCUUAACCAGACCGAGUGAGUUCAUAACUUGCCCUCCGGCCGCACUCACUCGUUCAGGACCAUCCCAUGUUCCAUACUGGAACAAACCUUUUCCAACCACUCCUGGACUCACAACACUAUGUGUAGCUCCAGUAUCAAAUAAUGUGUUUCCACACCACCGAUCAUUAAGUACUUAGAUGAGUAGGAUCUUGGUUUGAUCACACAUUUGGAAAAUGUCCCAUACCAUUCUCCAAAGCAUCACACAUCUGUGAAUGUCCCAUACCAUUCACAAAAGUGUUGAUAGUAUACUUCAAUCCUCAUCAUACUAAGAUACUUAACAUCGUGUUUCUAAUUCCUCAUGGAAUUGAUCCAUUACAUUCACUCAAUCUUAAGGAAUCCUACCUUGACUUACACUGAGUCCAAGCUGAUCCAUCUGAUCACAAGCCCACUCAUGUACUAGCCAUGUAGCGUCUCCCUUAGACUAACAUGAACAUUGCAUAUGCUCACUUAUUUUGAACGGCCACCAAGGGAUAACAUUUACCUCCAAGAGAGUGCUGCACGUUUCUUUCAACCUAAGCCACUCUCUGGUCCAUGUUACUUCCCUUGUCCAGGUCGUCCAUACAAAGAUCUUGCAUUGCGUCCAUCAUCCAAAUAACUAGAAAACUAACCUUUCUAUUUCAGGGUCUUGCCCUUGGAGAGUGCAUCUUGGCUAAGCCGGCUCAUCUUGGAACUUCCCCGUUCACAAGCAUGAAACCCAAUCUUACCUCAACUCCCACUUGGCUCACCACAGCUAAGGUUCCAAGUCCUCUCAGUUUUCAAAAAUAAUUUCGGUUUGGAACCUAACAUCUUUGAGCACUGUCCUCAACAGGAUCAAGCAUGCUCUGAUACCAACUUGUAAGACCCGAUCCCGGCCAACUAGGCCGCGGUCGAUGCCUCACGUCGCUCAGUCCAUACCCGGACCGAACCUCUAAAAAUUUUGCCCUUUAUUUAAAAUAUCGCCCAUUGGCGAGGGCUAACUCAGAUCCUAGCUCAAGACUACCUUAGUCAUUCCCUAGCUAGAUCCUUUCAACUUAUGCACAGCGGAAUAGUAUCUACUUAACCAUUGGUCUAAACCAAUCUAACACUUGUCUGGUCAGAUCACCUCAGCUACUGGUCAGUAAACACAACUGCCAGCUAGCUCCAAGGUCGAUCCUGAACCUAGACCAAGUCAUACAAUCAGAGGUUCUGUUCCCCUAAGCCAUUCUAUCUAGAUCUAUGCAACAUUGACAGAUCAUACCUUUGCCACAUUCCCGGAGCUUGUUAGCUCAUUGGCCCAGCUACGCUAGCUGAAGGAACUCGUAAACCAGCUGAUCGAGCUGUCACACUCGAACUGAGCUAGGACCGAGCUAUGGCCAGCUGCCAUAUACUGCGUCCCGCUCCUUUACACACACAAAACAACUCCCUUAGGUACUUAGUCAUUCAGCCAACCAUCCCCACAGACAUAAGUAACCCUUGAGAAGUAUUCAAACAGCUAAGGACAUGCAUCUGGCCCUUACCGGCUCAUGCACUGUCUCGCAUCCUUUUUGCCUUAUCAACUUAUGAUACCAAGUCCAGCUCAUGGACUAACAAUGCCCAUCAGAUCCUGAGUCAAUCAACCAACCACCCCACAUGACUCAGAACUGAUGAGUCUUCAUACUUCCUAAUCAGUCAUGGAACCAUGUUCCACUGAACCUGAUUAGUGUUGCUCUUACCACCGGUGCAUCCUUUGAUCAAUCAGAUCAGACACCUUGAUCCAUCAUCCAAGGAUCAGGUCGUCCAUCCUUGCCCAUGAUCAGAUCACACACGGCCUGCCUUACCAACACCAAGGUUGAUAACCAGCAAUUCCUUAUGAUCAAUAUCAUAAGUGACAAUAUGUUCCAGCACACAAACAUAUGAUCAGAUAUCCUAACACAAGGAUCUGACCCCAAUAUGCCCUCAGGUGCAAUUUCGACCGCAAGCAAACCUGCUCCAAAAAUCAAUUAAAAUUCAUGACAAUUCAUGAUAAAUCAUAACUAAGAGAAUGGUCCAAUCAGAUUUCCCAGAACCGGCCUCCAUCCCAUAGAUCUCGGCCAAGAUCAGCCAAACCGGCCCAAGGGACCAUCUCUAAAUCAAUCCCUAAAAACUCAUUAGGAUUCAUGAUAAUUCAUGAUAAAUCUUAACUAAGAGAAUGGUAAAGUCAGAAUUCCAAGAACCGAUCUCGAUCCUAUGGAUCUCGACCUAGAACAGCCCCACCGGCCACAUUGACCAUCUCGAAAUCAAUCAGAUAAAAAUCCCCAAAUACCAUGAUAAUUCAUGAUAAUUCACCACUAAGAGGAUUCCAAAGUCAGAUCGCCAUAAAUCCAUCAGGAAGUAGGAGAUCCGGACUUAGCUGCCAAACCAAGGCCAUGGAGGGUUCUUCUGAACCGGCCAAGCCAUGGUUCAGUGCUACUAUGUCUAAUCAUCAAUCUCAAUCAUAAGAAGAAGAAAUAAUAUGAUUAAUAAUCAUAAAACAGAGUAAGGUGUAACUGAAGGACCAGAUCAGCCUAUAGUGUACCAGACUAUGUCCAAUGGUCUGCAGUCCCCACCUGUUACCUCAUCAGGGGCGUCCAUGCUCUUCCUAGCACGCCUUCAUCAAACCCUUUUGUUGUAGUACCCACGACUGAGGUUCUCAUUAUCCGCAAUGGCCCUACCAUAAGGUCCGGUUCAAGAGUUAUAAGAGAUGGAUUUGCCAAAGCUGUCCAGGAGCUGCUUGCACAGGAACAAACCGGGUUCAAGCAACUAUUGAUCCAGGAGUUGUCUGACUUGAAGCUUGAAGACACCGGUGAACCACUAGAGGUUCCAGACCCUGUCCAUUCGAGCCAGUUCUCCUCCAUCGGCCAGAAUGAAGCCGGCCUGACCAUUUCCACCUUCAUACUCAAUCCAUCCAACCAACUUGCUUCCGGUUCAGAGAUAUAGCCGACCAUCAGAAGGAGUAGUAUGUGUUGUACUCUUUUUCCUUAUCGAGGUUUUGUCCCACUGGGUUUUCCCGAAAGGUUUUAAUGAGGCAACAAGCAAGCAUACUAUGAGUUCUGAUCCGGACAUCUCAAACCGCGACCGGUCUAUUGUUUUCUUUAUUUUUAUUUCGGUUAAGACCUUGGCCAUUUGUCUAGGCCCUUUUUUAUCUUUAAGUCCAGUAAGGAACAUCUAUUUAAACCCUUGUAGUUGCCAACUUUUCGGCUAAGUCUUUUAUGAAAUCGUUUUUGCUUUAGCAAAGAAACCCUAAGUCUUUCAGUUGUGUGAAACAUUGAGAGCAGCCGUGUGACAUAUCAAAGAGCCGAUCCAUUGUUCUUUGUGGCGUCCUUCGAUCCAUUCCAUUCCUUGUCCGAAUCUUGAGAGAGACACACGUCCAACAAGAGCCGGAUCCAUAUCUAUCUUCUUAACCGCCCUAGGCAUCUUGCUGAGAGAGACAUACGUCCAGCAGCAGAUCCCAUCCGCCAAUCUCCUCUCUUCUCUAUCUUUUGUUUUAGAUUUCAUUCAACCAAUUCCAUAAACAAAACCAAAAGAAUCAUAACUUGUUUCUGUUCUACAUCCUGUUGAAAACUCACUAAAAGUUCCUAUCUGUUUCAGGUUCGAUCACAAGCAAGAGACGAGCCGGCCAGUACCAUCCGUCCGAGGCAAGACUGAACCGCGGAACGGCCAUCCGUCCGUCCGUCCGUCCGUCCGUCCGUCCGACCCUCCGACCCGUGCCUACAACAUUUUGGUAUCAGAGCUGAAGUUUCCUGCGAAACUCAGUUCUUUCUGAACCCUAGCCGUCACCAUUCAAAAAAAAAAAUAUUUACUUUCCUUAUUUUUUUAAAAAAAUUUUCGGAAUUGUUCUCCAAGUUUUUGAUCUUCCAUUUAAAAAAAAAAAAAAUUAAUUACUUUCCUUAUUUUUAAAUUUUCGGAUUGUUUUCCAAGUUUUCAAAAAAAAAAAAAAAAAUUCCCUUUCCUUUUUCAAACCUGAUUCGAUUUUGCCUUAACUUUUUUUGCAUUUACUCUUAGCCUUGGUCGAUACUCAAAGUAUCCGACCCAAGCAACUAUUUAACCCCCCCUCUUGCCUUUUAAUCUUUCUUUGAGUUUCUUCUCAGAGAACUAUGGGAGAUGUAGGUCAAGACCAAGCGGCCAUAAACGCUCAGCUCCUAGCUGACAAUGAGGAACUGAGGGCGAGCCUUAGGACUAUCACAGCCGAGCUUGCUCAGAUACGGCAGGGAGGCAGGCCCAACGGACCUCGACCACCAGGAAGGCAUCAGCCGGACCCGCAUGACACUGACUCGGACGCGGACAGUACCGAUGAUACGCGCAGUCAGGACGAGGAGAGGCCGAACCGGGGAGGUAGGAGGAACGCGCGAGGACCCCGGGCCCAAGUAGGAGGAGGCCGCGACCAUAGGGGAGGUCGAGACCGAGAGGAGGAAAAGCCUUGGUUGGGAGGCAAGGCGCUUAAGCUUCAUCCCCCAACGUUUGCCGGCAAGGUUGAUCCGGAUGCCUACAUCGUGUGGGAGAAGCGCAUGGAGUACAUCUUCGACUAUUAUCAAUAUAGUGAGGCCAAGAAGGUUGCCCUAGCAGCAGCCCAGCUGACGGACAAUGCUCUUUCGUGGUGGGAUCGAGACGUUGCUAAGUCCGGGCCAGUGUGGAGAGCGCGUAAUUGGACCGAGAUGCGGACUAAGCUUCGCGCGAGGUACAUUCCAUCUUACUACCAGCGUGAUGUGCUAAAACGUUUUCGUAAACUUACGCAGGGAACUAAGACUGUGGAGGAGUACUUUGAGGAGUUCGAGGCACUUAGGAAUAAGCUUGAGACCGACGAGCCCGAGGAGACAAUGAUGUCCCAAUUCCUGGAAGGGCUGCAAGACCGCAUUGCCCGCAAGGUGGAGAGACAACACUAUGAAGACUUCAACGAUCUAUUGCACUUUGCUACGCAAGCCGAGCAGCACAUCAAGCGCAAGACGGCCAGUACCAGCCGCAGCAAACCUGCUUGGACGCAACCGGGUUCAAAGCAUGGCGACAAGGGCAAGACGAUUGAGAUUGAGAGCCGAUUCAAGACAAACCAGGCUGAAUCGUCUAAUGCAUCUAAGCCGGAGCAGGGUAAGACUCAAGCCCAAAAUUUGCGUACUCGUGACAUCAUUUGUUAUAAGUGUCAGGGCAAAGGCCACUACGCUCGGGAUUGUCCAAACAAACGAGUGAUGGUCCUAAAGGGGGAUGGCGAGUAUGAAUCCCAAGAUGAGGCAGAGGCCGCGGCCGCGAUCUCUGAUGAAGAAGUAACCGACUACCCGGAGACAGGCGAGCUGCUAGUGACCCGGAGAGCUCUUAGCACCCUCUUUGACCCAGAGACCAUCCAGCGGGAGAACAUCUUCCACACCAGAUGUAGUGUUGAUCACAAGGUAUGUAGUUUGAUCAUAGAUGGCGGAUCUUGUACUAACGUGGCUAGCAAGUAUCUUGUUGAUAAGCUAGGGUUGGUCAAAACUGCCCAUCCUCGACCAUACCGUCUCAAAUGGCUCAAUGAUGAGACUGAGCUCAAGAUUGCCGAACAAGUUGUUGUGUCCUUCAGUAUUGGCAAGUACCAAGACCAGGUCAAGUGUGAUGUUGUGCCCAUGCAAGCCGGCCAUAUACUUCUCGGAAGGCCGUGGCAGUUUGACAAGGAGACACUUCACCAUGGCCGCACCAACAUCUACAGUUUCGUCCACAACAACAAGAAGCACAGCCUAGCACCUCUCAGCCCUCAAGAAGUUCAUGAUAUGCAGAAGGCAAUGACGCAGUCCGGCCAGGUAAGUAACACUAACCUUUACAUGACUUCCGGACAAGUGCUUAAAUCAUUACAACGUGAGACACAGGUGCUACUAAUGAUCUUUAAGGAAGGUUGUUUUGCAGGUUUAGAAGCUCCUGAAGUACCGGACGUAGUAGAAGACCUCAUGGGACGUUACAAGGAUGUCUUCCCUGACGAGAUCCCUGCCGGCUUACCCCCUAUCCGUGGCAUAGAACAUCAGAUCGAUCUUGUACCCGGCGCGCCACUACCAAACCGAGCCGCUUACCGUGUCAACCCUGAGGAAGCUAAGGAGCUGGAACGGCAGGUCCAAGAUCUCAUGGACAAAGGCUACAUCCGCGAGAGCCUUAGCCCCUGUGCAGUCCCGGUCCUACUAGUGCCUAAUAAAGAUGGGACAUGGCGCAUGUGUGUGGACUGCCGAGCCAUCAACAACAUAACCAUCAAAUAUCGGUACCCUAUACCUAGAUUAGAUGAUAUGCUGGAUGAACUGAGUGGGUCUGUUGUGUUUUCUAAGAUUGAUCUCAGGAGUGGAUACCAUCAAGUCCGCAUGAAGGAAGGAGAUGAGUGGAAAACCGCCUUCAAGACCAAGCAAGGUCUAUACGAGUGGCUGGUGAUGCCGUUUGGCCUUACCAACGCCCCUAGCACCUUCAUGAGACUCAUGAAUGAGGUCCUCCGACCUUACAUUGGUAAAUUUGUGGUUGUAUACUUUGAUGAUAUCUUGAUUUACAGCAGGUCUUUAACUGAACACAUGGGACACCUAGAACAGGUUUUGAAAGCCUUAAGGCAAGAAGGCCUUUAUGCUAACCUUAAGAAAUGUGUAUUCUGCACUGAUCAGUUGGUAUUUUUAGGCUUUGUUGUGAGUUCACAGGGACUGAAGGUUGAUGAGGAGAAGAUCAAGGCCAUACAAGACUGGCCGACCCCAACCACGAUCGGACAUAUCCGCAGCUUCCAUGGACUAGCCAGUUUCUACCGACGAUUUGUGAAGGACUUCAGUACCAUUGCCGCCCCAAUGACCUCCGUGAUCAAGAAGAAUGUAACCUUUGCUUGGGGUCCUGCCCAAGAGGAGUCUUUCAACAGGCUUAAAUAUAGUUUGACACAUGCACCGGUUCUAACUCUUCCUAACUUUGAUAAACCUUUUGAGAUUGAGUGUGAUGCUUCAGGGACAGGGAUAGGGGCCGUACUGACCCAAGGAGGCCGGCCAGUGGCUUUCUUCAGUGAGAAAUUGAGUGGAGCCGCCCUCAAUUACCCCACCUAUGAUAAAGAGCUAUAUGCUCUAGUAAGGUCGCUCGAAACUUGGCAACAUUAUCUUUUGUCUAAUGAGUUUAUUAUUCAUACAGAUCAUGAGACUCUUAAGCAUUUGAGGGGCCAGACCACACUCAAGAAGAGGCAUGCCAGGUGGCUGGAGUUCGUGGAAACUUUUCCUUAUGUGAUCAAGUACAAGAAGGGAAAGGACAACGUAGUGGCCGACGCCCUAUCCCGGCGCCACACACUCAUUACCACCAUAGAGGCUAAGAUCAUGGGUUUUGAGCAACUCAAAAUGUCUUAUGAAACUGACCCUGAUUUUUCUGAGCUUUACAGUAACACGGGUCCAUUCUAUCAGCAGGACGGGUUCCUCUUCAAGGAAAAACGCCUGUGUAUCCCUCAUGGUUCCAUGCGAGAUUUACUGACCAGAGAAGCUCAUGGGGGUGGAUUGAUGGGGCAUUUCGGUCGGGACAAAACUCUGAGCGUCCUGUCCGACCACUUCUAUUGGCCCCGGAUGAGGCGCUACGUCGAGAGCCUUUGCGCCAAGUGCACUGUCUGUCUCAAAACCAAAUCCAGGUCGCAUCCUUAUGGUUUACACAUGCCUUUACCUAUUCCUAUUGCACCGUGGGUCGAUCUGUCUAUGGACUUUGUGCUGGGCUUGCCCAAGAUAGAACACAAGGAUUCUAUUUUUGUUGUAGUGGACAGGUUCUCCAAGAUGGCACACUUCAUUCCGUGUUCCAAGACCAAUGAUGCAAGCCAAACCGCUGAUCUCUUCUUCAAGGAAGUGGUGCGUUUACAUGGAGUGCCUCGUACCAUUGUGUCCGACCGAGACACAAAAUUUCUCAGCCACUUCUGGAGGACAUUAUGGAAAAAGCUUGGAACCAAGCUCCUUUUCUCGACCACUUGCCAUCCACAGACUGAUGGACAGACCGAGGUAGUAAAUGAUAUCUUGCAUAUUUGCAUUGUUUUAUCCAUUCAUCCAUGAGCAUUUUCAUCAUGUAGAUUAGGAUUUAGCCAUGUCUAGGUUGCAUUUUGCAUUCAUUGUCCUUAUUAGGUGUUGGAGUGCCACAUGGAGUUCUUGGGGACAUUUGGAUGCAUUUGGAGCUUAAAGGACGUGAAAUAGGUGAUCAUUGGACGAGCAGAGCAUGGGAGCGAGGUUCCGCAGCGACGUCAUGAGCUCGCUCCAAAGAACCCCCCAGAGCGACUUGCCCAGAGCGACGCCCCGAGGUCGCUCGCAUCUCACACCCCUCUCGGAGCGACCUCCCAAAGCGACACCCCGAGGUCACUCGCGUCUCUAUGGCGAGACGACACGAAGCGAAGCCUGGAGCGACCUCUCAGAGCGACCUACCAAGGUCGCUCCCGAUCCAGAGCGACGCGUUGGAGCGACACACCAAAGUCGCUCGCGACCUCUCGCCCGGAGACACCAAAAAUCGGCCCUGGAGCGACUUCCCGGAGCGACACCUGCAAGUCGCUCCGCGUUAUUUUGCUGCCGAAAAUCAUGAUUUCUCAGGGACCUUUUUGCAAUUUAUUUUGGACGUUUUGCACUUGGAAAACCUAUGUUUUAAACAUCUUUUGUAGCCACCAGGCAGAUUAUCUUUGGAUCUAUUGAGAAAGACACAAGAACUCUCUGGAGAAGUUCAUCUUUUGGAUUUUGAUUGUUAUGUUCUUGUGUUCUUGUUGAUUUCUUAUCUAUUUCUUUACAUGAUUAAUCUGAAAUCCAAUAUGGGUUUAAGAGGAAUCAUGGAGAUUAGUGAGUAAUCACCUUUUGAAUUCAUGGGUUAGGGAGAUUAAGGGUGAUUAGGUUAGAGCUAGGAUGUUUUAGUGUAGAUCAUUCAUAUUUCCUUGCUAGUAGAGUAAUCAUAAUGCAUCUUCUGAGUUGGCCACUCAGUUGUUGAUCCUUAGGCAUUUCUCACCCGAAAGGUGUUCGAUGAAAUGCCCGAGACAACUCUCCUAGGCUUUUAGUAUACUUUGCCAAAGACAUUUGUUGUUAAAGAUGCUAAGAUAGCUAAUAGACUUGUUAGUAAUGAUUGCUUUCAUAUUAUUCAACCAAAGACAUUUGAUGUUUGAGAUAUGUUAGCAAAUGAGCAUUCAUCUAGACAUAGAGCUUGCUUAGAAUUGUGUCUAGGCUUAAGGUUGAUAGUUUGAUUGAUCAUUUGCCAUCCUUAGUUCGAUACUUGAUCACCCAAGGUCUAAUCCCUAUGCCCAUGAGUUCUCUUUUCCCUUAGUCAAGAAAGUAUCAUUCUGUUAUUGCUUUCUAGUUUAGUAGUAGUUUAAAACCCAUCUAAAUCAUUGGUUGCACUUAGAUUAAGUGAGUACUUGCAUUCUCAGUGCUUUGAUAUCCCUCAGAACUGGUUCGACAAUCUUUUAUACUACAACAUUUGUCUUAGGAGCCUUGAAAACUCCUAACAUCAAAUUGGCGCCGUUGCCAAAUUCUGAGUCGAUUUGAACAUUGAGAUUUAGUCAAUUGCUUGAGACUAAGUCAUUUUUAUUUUCUUUUGUUACUAACUCUUCUUCACCUCCCUUUAAUCUACAGGUGUAUGAACUUGAGGAGCAAGGGUCCAUCAAACCUAGUUCCAAGAGCAGCAGACAUCAGAGCUUUAGAGAGAGAGUGUGCUAGAAAGAGAAGAGAAGAAGACCAUCAGGCUCAAUUGCAGAGACUGAACACUGACAUGGGAGACGUUCAUCAAGAAGAUGCAGGCGUCAAUGGCGCUAACAACAAUGGUCCACCUAACCAACAGCGAGCAGCUCGCCCCAUUGGCACUUACGACCGUCCCAACAUUCAUGGUCAUAGAUUGGGAAUCCGAGCACCCGCCGUGGCAGCCAACAACUUUGAGAUCAAGUCAGGACUCCUCAACGUGAUCGAGAACAACAAGUAUCAUGGCUUGGCUCUCGAGGAUCCAUUUGAUCACUUGGACAGGUUCGACAGCUACUGUGGGUUGUCAAAAACCAAUGGUGUGUCCGAAGAUGCUUUAAAGCUCAAGCUAUUCCCUUUCUCUUUGGGGGAUAAGGCACGUCAGUGGGAGAAGUCUCUACCCAGCGACUCCAUUACCACUUGGGAUGACUGCAAGAAAGCAUUCUUGGAGAAGUUCUUCUCUACUUCAAGAACUGCUAAGCUGAGAAACGAGAUCUCCAGCUUUCAACAGAAGGGCUUGGAAGGUUUCAGUGAAGCCUGGGAGAGAUUCAAGGGCUAUCAAGCUCAAUGCCCACACCAUGGUUUCUCUAAGGAGAGUUUGCUGAGCACAUUCUACCGUGGUGCUCUACCUAAGUACAGAGCCAGACUGGAUACAGCUAGUAAUGGGUUCUUCUUGGGGCGAACUGAGGAGGAUGCAGAGGAGCUGGUUGACAACAUGGUUAAGAGUGAUGCAGUCUACAGUGGAGACCACGACAGAAGCAGUAGAACUGAGGAUAAGCAAACGAGGAAGGAGUUGAAAGCUCUACAGGAUAAGAUAGACAUCCUCCUUGCUGAUAAAGCUACCCAAGAGCAGCUGCACUUUGUUGGCAACCCAAGCCAAGAGACACCAGCUGUUGUCCAUGAAGUUGAGGGUUUGGAAGGUCAGGAAGAGCUGUGUUUCAUCAACAACAAUGGUAGCUGGUACAAGAAAGAACCCAACUUUCAGUACAACAACUACCAACAGAAGUCCUAUUCCAACAACCAGCAGAGUGGUUAUCAGCCUCGGAACAAUCAGCAAGGCAGCUAUCAGCCUCAGCAAAAUCCCUCGUCUGGUUCCUCUGCUCCUCAAGAGAGCAGCACUGAUACCUUACUGAAACAAAUCUUGGAGUCUCAGACUAGAAGUGAGAAGCAUGUUGGUUAUGAGUUGAAGAACCUUCAUACCAAGAUUGAUGGGAGCUACAAUGAGCUCAACAACAAAUUCUCACACCUUGCUUCUACAGUCAGGAAUUUAGAGAAUCAGUUUGCUUCCAUGAACACUCACCAGAAUCGCCAGCAAGGAUCUCUACCUGGAAAGUCUGACCAAAACCCCAAGGAGGCCAAAGCUAUCACCCUUAGGAGUGGUAAACAGUUGCCUCCUAGAACCCUCACCAAGGAUGCUGAGAAACUAGGUGAGGGGGUUGCCAUCAACAUAGAUGAUGAAGUGGUGAUUGUUGAUGAGAAGAUCAAUGACGAGAUCUUGGAGAAGAUAGUGGAAGCCAAAGGUAAAGGAAAGGUUGGGGAAGAGAAGAAGACAGUAAAAGAUGGUGAAGUUGUAACUCCAGCAAGUGAAAGUUCUUUUGUUCCUCCUCCCUAUGAACCCAAACUUCCAUUCCCUGGUAGAUUCAAGAAGCAGCUGCUAGAGAAGUACAAGGCUCUGUUUGAGAAGCAAAUGAGUGAAGCUCAGGUUGCAAUGCCCAUCAUCGAUGCUUUCAUGUUGAUUCCUCAAUACAACAAUUUCCUGAAAGAUGUUGUAGCUGCAAAGAAGAAGGAGAUGGACGGCAUGAUGACUCUUACCCAUGAGUGCAAUGCCAUCAUCCAGAGGCUUGAUGUUCCAGAGAAAUUAGAGGAUCCAGGAAGCUUCACACUACCUUGUGCUCUUGGACCUAUGGUAUUUGAGAAAAGUCUCUGCGAUUUGGGAGCUAGUGUCAGCUUGAUGCCUUUGUCUGUUGCAAAGAAGCUUGGAUUCACUCAGUACAAGAAGUGUAGACUCUCUUUGGUGUUAGCUGAUCGUUCAGUGAAGUACCCUGUGGGCAUCUUAGAGGACCUCCCUGUGAAGAUUGGAAGGUAUGAGAUACCUACAGAUUUUGUGGUGCUUGAGAUGGGUGAGGAGGCUCAAGACCCAUUGAUUCUAGGAAGGCCAUUCUUAGCUACAGCAGGAGCUAUUGUUAAUGUGAAGGAAGGCACGAUUGAUCUCCAUUUGGGUAAAGAGAACAUCCUCCACUUUGACAUUAAGGAGAAAAUGAGGAAACCAACUGUGUUCGGGCAAGCCUUCUACAUUGAAGAGAUGGCCACUCCUGCUGAUGAGCAUCUUGAAGAGUUACCACCUGAGGACGACGAGGAGGGAGCAUCUCCCUCUACUCAUUCCCUAUAGAAGGUAAACCACCACACUCCCUUGUAUAUACCAUCUCAUUUUUUGCAUAUUAGUCUUCUUUUCGGUAUCUCUCUCUACUUGACAACACAGAGACUGUGUAACUCAAGUUUGGGGGAGGUACCAAGUAUUUGAUCAUGUUUGCUUUGAUGUUGUUUCAUUGAGUCAUGCAUUGCAUACCUAUUUGCAUAUUAAAAAAAAAAAAAAAAACAAUCAUUUAGUUUGCAUCAUUUGCAUUUCUAGGAGAGUCUAGAGCAUAUAGGUUGCAUUCACUUGCAUUGGGAGCAAUGAUUUUAAAUGCCUUGUAAAGAACACUACGUUGCACCUGAGUAGCUUUUGCACCUCUCAAAAAGACUUGUAUGUUUCGAGCCUUGAAAACUCUUCCUGAAACUUGUUGAUUGAUGAAACUCAGUCUUUGAAGCCAACUACAAUCUUAUUUGAACUGAACGAACUUAAUGUUUCUUGCUCAUGGUCCCUUGUGUACUGAGUCAUGGCUAUACACACUUGAGUUGUCACAUCUUUUAUGCCGAUCUUUUUUGACAAACUCUAGUGGUAGACCACUCCCAAAACCUUUUCCUCCUUUUAAGCUUUCAUUGUUUGAUGAGUGAGGCCUUUUUCGGAAAGUCUUACAUGUGCAUAAUGUUGAGAGUAUCGGGAACGACAAUGCUUGAUCUUCAUUCUUGCUAGAUUGGGCACUCUAUUGUCUAGCUAUAGGUGGGGGGUGAGUGUUGUGAUUAUGAUUUGGGAUAAAUGAAAAAGAAAAAGAUUAGACUCUUUGUGCUUAAGUGAAUUGUUUUGUUGGGAUAAGUAGAGGAGCAUCUAGCUCAAGUUUUGAAAAGUCUUGGCCCCCAGCCUAAAAAAAAAAAAAAAAUAAAGGCAAAAGAAAAACGAAAAAAAAAGAGAAAAGAAAAAAAAAAAAGAAAAAGAAAAGAAAAAGGGGGCUAGCAAAGUUGUUAAGAGCUAAGAAAUGUUUUGAGGUUGUGAAAAAUCCCUUGUAGAUUUCAAAGAGAAAGAGUUGAUGUUCUUAGGAUCUUUUGGUGAGAGAUGUGAGUUGGGUUUGACAUUUGAGAAUAAUUGUGUAAUUGUACGUUUGGGAAAAGGGUAGAACAAUGGAGAUUGAGCAUUGUAUGCAUGAGUUGAUCCCUUUCUUAGAUAUAUUAUGUGCAAUGUCAAGGCUACUUGUUUCGAGAGUAAACCACCUUAAAGAUCAUAUGUUUUGAAUCUCUUGAAUCACUUGAAUAAAAGCAUUUCCUUAUCCAACCAAAUGACUUGGACCAACUGACCAUUUGCAAGAAUUCACCUGAUGUUUUGUGCUUAAUGAAUGUGAGAGUUGGUUGAUUUGAAUGUGUGGAUGCUUGAUGAUGAGUGUAAGAACAAAAAGAGUUAAGAUAGGCCUAGAGAAGCUAGAGUGUAAUAAGAGAGGGUGCUAGUUGUGUUUCUUUUGGCUAUGUGCUCCCACCUUCAACCUCUCUCCCUAGAGUUCUAGAAAGUUCACUUGUGGACAAGUAAAAGAACAAGUUUGGGGGAGUUGAUAUCUUGCAUAUUUGCAUUGUUUUAUCCAUUCAUCCAUGAGCAUUUUCAUCAUGUAGAUUAGGAUUUAGCCAUGUCUAGGUUGCAUUUUGCAUUCAUUGUCCUUAUUAGGUGUUGGAGUGCCACAUGGAGUUCUUGGGGACAUUUGGAUGCAUUUGGAGCUUAAAGGACGUGAAAUAGGUGAUCAUUGGACGAGCAGAGCAUGGGAGCGAGGUUCCGCAGCGACGUCAUGAGCUCGCUCCAAAGAACCCCCCAGAGCGACUUGCCCAGAGCGACGCCCCGAGGUCGCUCGCAUCUCACACCCCUCUCGGAGCGACCUCCCAAAGCGACACCCCGAGGUCACUCGCGUCUCUAUGGCGAGACGACACGAAGCGAAGCCUGGAGCGACCUCUCAGAGCGACCUACCAAGGUCGCUCCCGAUCCAGAGCGACGCGUUGGAGCGACACACCAAAGUCGCUCGCGACCUCUCGCCCGGAGACACCAAAAAUCGGCCCUGGAGCGACUUCCCGGAGCGACACCUGCAAGUCGCUCCGCGUUAUUUUGCUGCCGAAAAUCAUGAUUUCUCAGGGACCUUUUUGCAAUUUAUUUUGGACGUUUUGCACUUGGAAAACCUAUGUUUUAAACAUCUUUUGUAGCCACCAGGCAGAUUAUCUUUGGAUCUAUUGAGAAAGACACAAGAACUCUCUGGAGAAGUUCAUCUUUUGGAUUUUGAUUGUUAUGUUCUUGUGUUCUUGUUGAUUUCUUAUCUAUUUCUUUACAUGAUUAAUCUGAAAUCCAAUAUGGGUUUAAGAGGAAUCAUGGAGAUUAGUGAGUAAUCACCUUUUGAAUUCAUGGGUUAGGGAGAUUAAGGGUGAUUAGGUUAGAGCUAGGAUGUUUUAGUGUAGAUCAUUCAUAUUUCCUUGCUAGUAGAGUAAUCAUAAUGCAUCUUCUGAGUUGGCCACUCAGUUGUUGAUCCUUAGGCAUUUCUCACCCGAAAGGUGUUCGAUGAAAUGCCCGAGACAACUCUCCUAGGCUUUUAGUAUACUUUGCCAAAGACAUUUGUUGUUAAAGAUGCUAAGAUAGCUAAUAGACUUGUUAGUAAUGAUUGCUUUCAUAUUAUUCAACCAAAGACAUUUGAUGUUUGAGAUAUGUUAGCAAAUGAGCAUUCAUCUAGACAUAGAGCUUGCUUAGAAUUGUGUCUAGGCUUAAGGUUGAUAGUUUGAUUGAUCAUUUGCCAUCCUUAGUUCGAUACUUGAUCACCCAAGGUCUAAUCCCUAUGCCCAUGAGUUCUCUUUUCCCUUAGUCAAGAAAGUAUCAUUCUGUUAUUGCUUUCUAGUUUAGUAGUAGUUUAAAACCCAUCUAAAUCAUUGGUUGCACUUAGAUUAAGUGAGUACUUGCAUUCUCAGUGCUUUGAUAUCCCUCAGAACUGGUUCGACAAUCUUUUAUACUACAACAUUUGUCUUAGGAGCCUUGAAAACUCCUAACAUCAGUAAACCGUACACUCUCUCAGUUAUUGAGGGCUACGGUGGGUAAGAAUCUUAAAAACUGGUUGAGUUGUUUGCCUUUCAUUGAGUUUGCCUAUAACCAUGCAAGGCACUCUAUUACUAACCUCUCCCCUUUUGAGAUCGUGUAUGGCUUUAGACCAGAGACGCCCAUGGACCUAGCCGCAUUGCCACCAGCCAUGCAAGUCAGCCAGAGUGGUGACAAAAAGGCUGAGUUUGUGAAGAACAUGCACCGGCAAGUCAAGGAGACUUUGGAGAAGAAGGCUGAAAGGAACCGGAUUAAGCUCAACAAGGGGCGCACAGAAGUUAUCUUCCAGCCAGGCGAUUGGGUGUGGCUCCACAUGAGGCCAGAACGGUUUCCGGAAGAGAGGAAGAGCAAAUUAUCCCCACGAGGGGACGGACCAUUCCGAGUGCUCGAUCGGAUCAAUGACAAUGCCUACCGGCUAGAACUGCCAGGUGAGUUCCAAGUUUCCCGAAUGUUCAAUGUGUCUGACUUGUCUCCUUAUAUUGCAGAUGACGGAGAUGUUCUGAGGACAGAACCUGUUCAAGAGGGAGGGGAUGUUGUAGUACCCACGACUGAGGUUCCCAUUAUCCGCAAAGGCCCUACCACAAGGUCCGGUUCAAGAGUUAUAAGAGCUGGAUUUGCCAAAGCUGUCCAGGAGCUGCUUGCACAGGAACAAACCGGGUUCAAGCAACUAUUGAUCCAGGAGUUGUCUGACUUGAAGCUUGAAGACACCAGUGAACCACUAGAGGUUCCAGACCCUGUCCAUUCGAGCCAGUUCUCCUCCAUCGGCCAGAAUGAAGCCGGCCUGACCAUUUCCACCUUCAUACUCAAUCCAUCCAACCAACUUGCUUCCGGUUCAGAGAUAUAGCCAACCAUCAGAAGGAGUAGUAUGUGUUGUACUCUUUUUCCUUAUCGAGGUUUUGUCCCACUGGGUUUUCCCGAAAGGUUUUAAUGAGGCAACAAGCAAGCAUACUAUGAGUUCUGAUCCGGACAUCUCAAACCGCGACCGGUCUAUUGUUUUCUUUAUUUUUAUUUCGGUUAAGACCUUGGCCAUUUGUCUAGGCCCUUUUUUAUCUUUAAGUCCAGUAAGGAACAUCUAUUUAAACCCUUGUAGUUGCCAACUUUUCGGCUAAGUCUUUUAUGAAAUCGUUUUUGCUUUAGCAAAGAAACCCUAAGUCUUUCAGUUGUGUGAAACAUUGAGAGCAGCCGUGUGACAUAUCAAAGAGCCGAUCCAUUGUUCUUUGUGGCGUCCUUCGAUCCAUUCCAUUCCUUGUCCGAAUCUUGAGAGAGACACACGUCCAACAAGAGCCGGAUCCAUAUCUAUCUUCUUAACCGCCCUAGGCAUCUUGCUGAGAGAGACAUACGUCCAGCAGCAGAUCCCAUCCGCCAAUCUCCUCUCUUCUCUAUCUUUUGUUUUAGAUUUCAUUCAACCAAUUCCAUAAACAAAACCAAAAGAAUCAUAACUUGUUUCUGUUCUACAUCCUGUUGAAAACUCACUAAAAGUUCCUAUCUGUUUCAGGUUCGAUCACAAGCAAGAGACGAGCCGGCCAGUACCAUCCGUCCGAGGCAAGACUGAACCGCGGAACGGCCAUCCGUCCGUCCGUCCGUCCGUCCGUCCGACCCUCCGACCCGUGCCUACAACACCUUUUCACAUACUUCCAGUAUUGAUAAGAUCUAACCAUGGUUCGUGACCAUCACUCCUUCCAUGGAACUUCCAUGAAACCAGUUUCUACACUGCAUCCACCUUCAAGGCUAUUCAUGCCAUUGUGAGUGAAGUCCGGCCUUCUCCCUUCUCUCCUGGGUGUUUUCGUGUGUUCCCAAGAUGCAGAGGAAGCCUAGGACGUGUUCAUCAGUGGUGGAAACCUACCACAGGGUCGUUCAUAACUCCCCUUGCACUUCCAUGAAACUGCCUUUCUACACACAUCUGCCCUUAAGGCUGUCUUGGCCUUUAGGAAUGAAUUCCGGUCAUCUACCUUCUCUCCUCACCAUUUGCGUGUGUUCUCAGGCCCUGGAGGAUGCAUUGGGUGAUAACAUCACGGAUCAAAAGCCACCAGAAAGUCGUUCAUAACUUUCCACCUUGAUCUCUCCCAAAACUGCCUCUUUAUGGCCUUCACACCACCAUGGGUCUUGGAUUGGAAAUCCGACCAACUCUCUGUCUUUUCUCUGUGUUUCUUUGUGUUUCAGGGUGUAGGAGGAAGCCCUGGCGUGCCUGAAAAGGCACGGACUUGCCUUCCUUAUAUAGGAGAAGGGGUGGUUACUUCUUAACCAUUGCAUCCCUUCGGUAUUAUUUCUGGCCAUUGAUUUAAUCAAUGGUACAGAUUGCACCCUUUCGCCUAUGGCAGUUACCACACGCCCUGGAACUGCCAAACCACUCCUGGACAUGUCCAAAACUAUCCCAUACGGACUGCCCAUGCCCCUGGCUCAAUCCCAAGAGCCCACUAACCCAUCGGUACAGACGGGUCACCCACAUGUCGCGGCCACUGUCCAGACCCGCCCCAACUGCCCAACACCUGAACACUCAGUCCAGCUGAGUUGAGCUGAUCCCCAGCUGAUCCAGCUGAGUGAGCUAGACCAUCCAGCUCAGGGAGCUGACCUACACUUCAGUGAGCUACACCAAGCUGCACUACACUUCACCUAGCUGGUCGAGCUUGUUUACUGCAUCGCCCAGCUGUUAUACACUGUGUCCAGCUUGCUUCCUUUAUCUUCUUCAAUCCUUCUAAGUCCCUUGGUCAAUUUCCAGACCUAGACUUAGUUUUCCCAUGAUCCAUUCUGAUCACUCACUUCAUCGAGCUUCACCUGGAUCUUGUCCAGCUACCAGCUCGCUUGUCCAGCUCCUUUGAGCUUGUCUCCUUCUUGGAUUAGCUAUGCCUUAGCUUCCUGAUGCUCUUAACCUUACCUUCAGGCCAUGAUAUACUUGUCCUUAGGUCAUAUGACCUGACUGGUGCGUUUCCUCGCACCACAGUCCGUCCGGACGUUCCUAUCCAGGAUCAGGGACAUGACAAGAGAGCCCAAACCUCCCAUGUUUUGGUGAUCUCCGGUGACACAUAUACAGAUCCUUCAUCUCUUUCUCAAACUUCUGCUUCACCAUCAUCACCUGUUUCAUGAUUUGAAUAAUUUAAAAACUCAAGGCUCUCGCAACAAUAAAAGAAAAAGAAAAAAAAAAGAAUUUGGUAACUUCAUGCGCCAGACGAAAUAUGAUUACAAUACCUAAGCUCAUGCAGUCGCAUUGCCUCAUAGAUACUUCGCUCAACGAGUCACCAACAUCAGAUGAUUCAGAAAAGUCCCUAGUCGACGAACAUUCAGAUGAGCAUGACGUAUCUAUCUCUGAAAACCAUCUAUCUUCUGUUUUCUGGUCAUCAGACUCUGAACCACUCUGGUCCCUAAAAUCCCAAGAAAAUUUCAUCAAUUCACGUUCGGGAGGCUGGGAGUAAAUGAUAUGUGUCAUCAGGAAAAUCACCUGGCCAAGUCCAUUGCAACUGUUGAAGGAACUAGUAAACUCUCAUCCAGUGUGUAAUUACCGGAACUUUUCUCAAGUCUUUCGCCGUCACCAAAGGAAAUUGGCAAAGAUGUUGCUCCAGGAACCUAAAUUUCAAAUGUCAAUAGAAGAUAAACCUGAAAAAAUUCUUGCAGAAAUGAUAGCUUCGCAUGCAAAACUGACAGCUAGGAUGAGGCCUAACACUAACACUAAUGAGACGCUUCUACAAUGGUGUGUUUUUGAAAUAAUCUGAUAGAUUUAUAAUGUAGAGUAAAUAUUUGAUCUUGUUUGGAAUAUACAAUACUCAUGAUUUCCAGAACUAGAAUAGCAAUGAGAGAGCGUCAUCAGAAACAUAAACCAAAAAGACCAUAGCUUCGAAAAUAAUAUCAAGAUAAUGAUUGGUAAACAAAAAUCAAAAGAAGUACAAUACCUGCCCAAGGAACAGUUCAAACUUUCUUGAAAGGUCACAAAGUUUUUCUUGCAUUCUUCUGUAGUAAUCAUCUCUUUUCUGUAUCAUCACUUCUAUAUGCAAUUUUCUGAAAGUUAUUGGAGAUGGGUACACUAGACUAGAGGAAGAAUAAUGCGUCCAACAGGGAAGAAGAUCUGCAUAAUUUCUGAGUCCAGAUGCAGAAAGAUCGCACAAUUCAAGAAGUUUUGUAAUUACUUGUAGCUGUUGACCAGCCCUUAGUAUAGGUUCCAAGAAGCCAUCCAAGAAACAUGGAACAAGCCCUCCUUCUUGCUCCUAGAGUGCAGAAAUUGAAUCAAUCUGCUAUCAGUGGAUAAAUGAUACUAAAAUCAACGAUGCAGAAAAAGAGAACAAAGUAUUACCUGAAAGCUUGGUGAGAAAUAGGGUUUCUUUGUGAAGAAGAUAACUUUCUUAUUAGGGUUUUCAACUUAGGUUCAUCGAUUACAAUGGAGUAUAUUAUAUAGGGAAAGCAUGUACUCAUGUAGAGACAAAGGAGAGCACAGAUCAGCAUGUGACAGCACACAAUCCUAAGGUUUCAAAACAGUUUGAUAGCUGUAUUUCCUUAGCUGUAUGUCCCGUACGAAGACUACCUUUAGGCGUCACAUGAUCUGUGCUUUUGUUACCGUUGAAGAGUGAUGAAGAUGACUGGGCCUUUGUCUCCGAAGCUUGUGUUGUGGGCUUUGGGUUUACACACCCCCUCAAACUUGGAGCAGGAGGCUUACUGAUCCCAAGUUUGUCGCGCAAGGCAAAGAAAGGUUGUUGCGGAAGCGACUUAGUGAAGAUAUCAGCCAGUUGAAGAACCGCAGGGACCUGACUGACGACGAGAGCACCCAGAGCAACCCUCUCGCGUACAUAGUGAAAGUCUGUGUCAAAAUGCUUGCUUCUGUUGUGAAGAGCUGGAUUAGCAGUCAAGUAGACAGCAGAGAGGUUAUCACAAAACAACUCAGGUGUAUCAGGAAGAGAGAUCCCCAUCUCACCAAGUAAAGACGCUAUCCACUUGAUUUCGGUCGCUGUGAGGGACAGAGUGCGGUACUCUGCUUCUGUUGACGAUCUUGACACAGUUGGGUGCCUCUUUGCAGACCACGAGAUUAUGUUGGAGCCGAGGAACGUACAGAGACCACCUGUGAACCGGCGAGUGUCUUUGCAACCAGCCCAGUCACUGUCACUGAAGCCAUACAGAAGGAAGCCAGUUUGUGCGUUGAUAUUCAGACCAAGGCGGCAUGUCCCUUUGAGGUAACGCAGUAUUCUCUUUAGGUUGGAGAAAUCAGCAACUGUUGGAGAGUGCAUCUUCUGGCACACGUAGUUUACUGCAAACUGAAUAUCUGGCCUUGUCAGAGUUAGAUACUGGAGCUUACCCGCUAAACUUUGAAAAUAUGUCGGCUCAGAGAACAGCUUGUCGUUGCCAGGUACCUUGUCUAACUGUAUUGGUAACGGAGUUGGCAUUGGAGCACAAUCUGACAUUCCUGCAGCCUCUAGGAGAUCAAGUGUAUAUCUUUCUUGACAAAGGAACAAGCCAUCAGUGUGUGCUUGGACUUGUAUGCCAAGGAAGUAAUGCACUGAGCCCAUGUCUUUCAUUCGGAAAGUAGUAUUCAGCGUUACCAUUAGCUUCUCAAUCAACUUCUCAUUGUUUCCUGUCAGUAGCAUAUCAUCCACGUAGAGAAGGAGGUAGAUAACAUCGUCUCCAUGGAGAUACACGAACAGAGAAGGAUCGCCAUGAGUGCAUUUAAACCCAAACUCCAGUAAGAAGGUACUGAACUUAUCAAGCCAAGCACGUGGAGACUGGCGAAGUCCGUAGAUAGCUUUGCGUAGCUUGCAAAGGUGAUGAGGCUUUUCUUUAUCUUCUAGCCCCGGAGGCUGCUUCAUAUACACAGUCUCCUUGAGAUCCCCGUGGAGAAAGGCAUUUUCUACAACCAGUUGUUUGAUUUUCCAACCCUUAACUAUCGCAAUGUGUAGCACUGAGCGUAUUGUUGCUGUACGUACCACCGGGCUGUAGGUCUCAACAAAGUCAAUACCCUCAGAUUGCUCGUUUCCUCGAGCUACUAGUCUUGAUUUGCGCUUGUUUAAGGUUCCAUCUGCGUUUAGCUUCGACUUAUGUACCCAUCCACUGCUGAUUGGUUGAAUGGUGGGAUCAGGUGGGACUAGAUCCCACGUAUGAGUGAUGUCCAUAUUAUUUUUCUCAUGCUGCAUUGCAUUGGUCCAGUUUGGGUCCUUCAGAGCUGCAGCGAGAGUCUUCGGUUCAGGGUAGAGAGAUUUUACAGUGACCAACGCAUACUUUGGGUGAGGUUUCCUGAUCCCAUCUUUGGCUCGAGUGAUCAUUUGAUGAACUGGUGCAGGUUGCACAACUUGUUGUUGAACUGGAGACACAAGAGGCGAAGGCAGAGGAGGGAAAUCAUCAUCAGAAAAGAUAGAUGCUGCAGAUGCAGGGGAAACAGGAGGUGGGGCUUGAGUCUUCCUUGGGGGAGGGAUAAACUCUUCAGCAACCGGUUGAUCAACCACCUGUUCCUUAGCUGUAACAUGUUCAGAACGCCAACUUGAGAGAAGAGGAGUGUCCAGUGAUGAAAGGAACGACUGAAACUCCUUUUCAUAUGGAAACUUGUUUUCUUCAAACAGAACAUGCCGACUGAUAUAGACUCUAGCAGACGGUGGAUGUAAGCAUCUGUAUCCCUUAUGCUUCUCACUGUAACCAAGAAAGACACAGUGUAGACUUUUCGGAUCAAACUUAUUCUUGCCAUAAGGCCUGAGGAACGGAUAGCAGCUUGUUCCAAACACACGCAGAGAGGAAUAAACCGGAGGUUUGCCAACAAGCAUUUCAUAGGGGCUUUUCUUUUCAGGUAACACUGAAGAUGGCAUCAAAUUGCCGAGAUAUGUAGCAGUGAGAAAAGCUUCGACCCAUAGCUGGUGAGGAACCUUACUUUGAAACAUAAGUGAUAGUCCCAGCUCAGUAACAUAACGGUGCUUCCUCUCAGCGAGACCGUUUUGUUGUGGGGUAUGGGGACAAGAAAGAUGUUGUUUGAUCCCGCAAGACGCAAAAUGAUUGAGCAGUUGUUUGCUAAUAAACUCUCCACCACCAUCACUUUGAAACACUUGUAUUUUGCUGUCUAGUUGUCUUUCUACUAGGUUCUGGAAGCUCAAGAAUGCAGUAAAGAAGUCUGAUUUCAUUCUCAAAGGGUACAUCCAAGUAUAUCUUGAGAAAUGAUCUACAAAAUCUGCAUAAAACCGAAACCCUUGUGUAGACACAACUGGAGAAGGCCCCCAGAGGUCACAAUGCACUCUCUCUAAGGGACGGGAAGCUACAAACUCAGAACUAGAAAACGGUAAACGACUAGACUUGCCCAGUUGACACGCCUCACAGAGCUGACGACUGAGAUUAUUGAUGAUGAUGGCUUUAUUUGAUGCAAGACGCUGGAGAACUUCAUGGUAAGGGUGCCUAGCCUCAUGUGCCACACAUUACCGCUUGCAGCCUGCUGUCUGUGAGAAUAGAAGGCCGUGAACUUCAGGUUCUCCAAGACGUACAGAUCUUUCUGUCUAAAUCCUUUGGUUAGUAUCUGCCUUGUCUGUUUGUCCUUCACAAUAACACUAUCAGCAUCGAACUCAAUUGAACAGGGAUAAUCAGCCGUAAGUUUUGAGACAAACAGAAGUGAUUUAGUCAUUGCAGGACAGAUAAGAACAUCUUUAAGGGGAAGAUUACCUUGAAGACUAGGCAACAUCGCAGUACCAACGUGUGUUAUAGGCACACACUCACCGUUACCAACCAACACAGUGUCAUCUCCAGUAUAUGCCUGUGAGGACUGAAGCUGAGAGACGUUAUUGGUGAUGUGAGCAGUUGCUCCAGAGUCAGCGUACCAUUCCUGACCAGAGUCGUAGCGGGUAUCUUGGGCACGCAUAGCAGCCAAAGCGGUGUGGUACUCCUCUGCUUGGUAAGAGUGAUCGAAGCGUUUGUAACACUUGUAGGCUGGAUGGCCAAACUUGUUACAGAUCUGACAGGUUGGACGGUUAUCAAGCGCAGAAGAGGAACCCCGUCCAGAAGACUGACUGAUCUGUUGAUGAAAGCCACGACCUUGGGUGGAGUAGUUCCCUCUGCCACGAGAACCACCAUGACCUCUACCGCGAGAAGAGUAUCCCCCUCUGUUAGUGUAGAAAGCUUGGUUGAUAGAGACGUCUGUUGGAGCUUCGUAGGUAGCUAACUUGUCGUGAAAGCUGAUAAGCUUAAAGACAACAUCAUCGUAGUUAGGACCCGGGAAAGCAUCCAUUGAGCUCUCAAUGACAGUAGAGAUAGACUCGUACUCUCUCCCAAGUCCACGCAGAACGCCAUAGAUCUUCUCUUGCUCAGACAACGGCACACCUAACGAGUCCAGCUGGUCGCAAAGCGACUUGAUUUCAGCGAGAUAAACCGAGAGAGUCCGAGAACCCUUCUUUGUUGUCUGGAUUCAACUCUGGAGGUCGAGCUUUCUUGUUGGAGAAACGCGGUUGUAUUUCUGUGCGAGGUAGUACCACAGCUCUUGAGAAGAACGGAGACCGUAAACACUACUGAUGACGGUUUCAGACAAGGAUCCGACCAACCAAGCCAUGAUACGUUGAUCAGUACGGACCCAUUGAGCGUACUCAGGAUUUGCGGUCUCUGUAGUUUGUUCGCCAUUCAAGGUGGUGAGAAUCGGAGGUGGGCGAGGAGUGCUACCGUUCACAUGACCGAGAAGAGACUGACUGUUGAGAAAUUGCUCGAACUGAAAUUUCCAGGAAAGAUAGUUUGAGUCAUUGAGUUUCAGAGUGACACACUGAGUGAUUGUCAAAGGAGAGGUAUAAGGAUCACCAUCCAUGGCUCUGAUACCAUGAAAGCUUGGUGAGAAAUGGGGUUUCUUUGUGAAGAAGAUAACUUUCUUAUUAGGGUUUUCAACUUAGGUUCAUCGAUUACAAUGGAGUACAUUAUAUAGGGAAAGCAUGUACUCAUGUAGAGACAAAGGAGAGCACAGCUCAGAAUGUGACAGCACACAAUCCUAAGGUUUCAAAACGGUUUGAUAGCUGUAUUUCCUUAGCUGUAUGUCCUGUACGAAGACUACCUUUAGGCGUCACAUGAUCUGUGCUUUUGUUACCGUUGAAGAGUGAUGAAGAUGACUGGGCCUUUGUCUCCAAAGCUUGUGUUGUGGGCUUUGGGUUUACAUUACCCUGGCCCUCUUCAACGGGGAGAUGCCAGCCGUAUUCCAAGAAAAAGAUGUCGAUUCAGUGACACAUUCCACAAUGAACUCUUUAUGAGGAUCGUUAAGUUCGGCCUUAUAAAUCCAAGAUCUUAUAAACUCGCAAUAUGGCUCACAUGUUUUCAGGAAAAAAAACUUAAGCAUAGCACUAUGAGCAGGAUCAGCAACCUACAACAGAAAUUGUCGGGAAAAGUCAUCAGAAAGAAAUCAAAAUUUACAAGUUCUUUGUGUA